CACAAAGUUCUGUGUUUCUUUUUCUCUUUAGUGUCCACAAGUUCAUGCAUGCUUGAUAGCUCUCUUUUCAGAUUUUAUUUCCAAACUCAUAUGAAGACUUCGGCGCAUUAAUAAUCUUCUUUGAUAGAGUCACUCCUCGCAUUUAUCAAGACUAUAUUCUUUAGUUAACGCCUUACAAAAUGUUUUCACAUAAAUUUCGAAAAAAUAAUUAAAUGUUUACUCUUAUCUUUAUUUGGCUAUUACAAAAUUAUAUUAUAUCAUUUUCUUAAUUUAGUUAAGGUUGAAAGAAAGAAAUCAAUUUAAACUACAUUUAAAUUACGAUUAGAUUUUGACCCGCGCUUUUAAGCGCGGAUUAUUUUACAGUUGAUAAAAAGAGAUGAUAUGAAUUAGUAUUUUAGUCUUGUUAUACAUUAUUAUGUUACAAAAUUUUAUUAUAUCAAAAAAAUUAUUAUUUUUAUUUAGUUAGUUAAUGAAAUUAUAUUUUUAAUCGUUUGAUUACUUUUUUUUAAAAAUAUUAUAUGGAUUGAUCAGACUCAGUGCGUCUAUUAUUUUAAAAUAAAUUAUUUUCAAUUAGAUGAGAAGAAUACUAUUAUAUCAAGUUUAGACCCGUCGUCGAACCAGUAAACACGAUGACUUGUACAUAAGCUGGUUUAGAUUUAAUGAAAACUCGUUAAUUUAAAGCAUGCAAACUUCGAAAAAACAUGCAAUCAAGUGUGAUCCGGCAUUUGGUUGACAUGGUAGGAAAAAAAUAAUCUUCAAUAAUAUUUUAAGAGAUGAAUGAAACUUCUAAUAUAUUAACGUAAUAAAAAAUAAUUUAACGUAAAUAUAUAUAAUUUUGUUUUAACAAAUGAUUUUCUAAAAUGUUUUUUUAUUAAAUUUGAUUUUGUAAAUAUUUAGAAUUAUAUAAUGUUAGAUGACAUGAUAUAAUAUGUUGUAUGAUAUAUGCUUUCAUUCUAAUAAUUGAUAUCUAAAUAUUAUAUAUCCAUCUUUGAGCAUAAUAUAUGAUGUAUAUAACGUUAUUGAAUAACAACAAUAACAUUGGAUGAUAAUAGAAAAAUAAUUAGAGAAGUGUAUCAUACAAAAUGAAAAAUAAUAAUAGGAUUUAUUUAAAAUAUUUAAAUUAUUUAUAGUUAUUGUAGUUAAUGGUAGGAUAAAAAAUAAAGAGUUUUAUAUAGAUGUUAUAAAUUCUUUUAUAAUAUAUUUUAAAAAAUAUUUUCUUUUAAUAAUAUAAAUUUUCAAUCGCAUCUAUAAUAUAUUCUUAUCAAAAAUCAUCAUAACAAUAUAUUUAGAAUAUAUAUAUUUAGUAUAUAUUGUUAAACUAAAGUACACAAAAUAAUCUCUAACAAUAUAUUUAGAAUAAAUUGUUAAACUGUAUGCAAAAUAACUUCCUUUAAAAUAUAGUCAAAAUUAUUAGAAGUGUUAGUCAAAGAGAAUCUAUGAUGUAUAAGCUGUGUAGAUAAAUAUUUCAGAAAGGUCAACAUAUUCAUUUGAAAAACCACAUUUCGAUCAACGAAAAAAUGAUAGAGUGAAGCCUUUGGUCAAAAAAUAAAUUAUAGUGUGAAAUGUUGCAAAGUUGGUGGCACCAAGGAACAAUAUAGUUUUGGUAUUUAAAUUUACCAGUCACGUAUUGGUUAUUGAUUCAUUAUGGAUUCAUGAGACAUGUUUUGGUAAGAUGAUAUUUUAGUAUAAUGGAGUUAUGUAUAAUUUUUUGGUGUAUUAUAAUAAGUUGAGUAAUAAAUAAGAGCAUUGAUUAUUUUAUAGUUAGAGAAAUAUAAGGUAAUUGAUUAUUGCAUAGGUAGAGAAAUAUAAGGUGAGACCAAAAAAAUUGUUAAGUCUAAUGAAAGGGUCCAACAACUUUUCAUAGGUAGAUUUUUUAAAACUCCUUCCCUUUUAAUAGUAUAGAUUCAUAUUUAAAUAUAAUACUAUAAAACGAAUUUAAUUUUAAACGAAAAAUAGUAUAUAGAAAAAUGUCAGUCUUUCGUUUCACACUAUGAAAAUCCCACAAUAAAAAAAAAAACACGCAAAAAAGGGCAAGCAAGGAAAAUACUGAUGACACAUUAAACCAUUGAUGUUUGAUCCUUACGGUAGGGUCGUACCAGAACCAGAAUCCAACAAUUCACUAUCUCAAGAAAUACACAAUCAUCUAAAGCUCAAUGCACAGUGAUAUAUAUAUUCACAAGCAGAUAGAUGAUGAGAUUUUUUUUAAAUUAUAUACAAGUCAAUAAAAUUUAACAAAAUAUAGUUUUAACAAUUUAGAGUCUUAUAUUUUGUAUAUUAACUCUUAAAUUUUGGAAAUCCAUAACUAGUUUUUUAUUGAGAAAAUUGCCAAAACGGAACAAAAUUUAGAUUGUUGUCAUUUUGGUAUAAAACCAAUUUUUUUCCAUUUUGUUUCUAUUUUACCAUUUCUAUUUCUGAAAUUUAAUGAAAUAAAUAGUUUUAUAAAUCAAAAAAAUAUUAAAAAUAUAAACAUUUAAUAAAACACCGGUAUACACAAAUACAUAUAUUGUUUUGGUUGAAAAACUUGAUAAAUAAAAGUUUUAAAUUUUGCUCUACUAAAAGUAGAAUUCGUCUUCUACAGAAAAUUGGUUAGUAGAAAACAAAUUCCAGAAUAAACAAGUCCGUCUAUUUUUUUUAGAACGAAAAAUCUACUUUUAAUUAAAUUCUAAAUAUGAAGAAUGUGAAUUCUACUAAUUGUAAAGAUAUCUACUUUUUUCGCAAGUGCAGUUUCUACUUUUAUGAAAUAUUCUUCAAUUUCAGGAAUGCUAAAUCUAAAUAUAACACGUACGUCUACAUGAGGUAAAAAUUGCAUUCAAGAUUUUUGUCAUGGUUCUACUCAUUGUAGGAUGUGCUUUCUAUGGAUAAGACAACAUGUUUUUGAAAAUUAAAGAAGCUUUUGUUAAGAAAAUAUUUUAACUUCCUAAAACGUGUUUUGAUCGAUUUGUUUUGCCAAAAUAUAAAAAAAAACGAUUUUUUCUUUUCUUCAUCAUCAAUCUAUGAUUUUUCUAUAGCUUGUCUUGUGAUUUUCACAAACUCUUGUUCUAUGAUGCAUAUCUAUACAACAUGUGGUGUUUGGGAAUUUGAUGCAACAUGGUAUGAGUUUUUUCAACUGAUGACAAAGGGGGUAGACUAAUGUUAUUAGAAUCAAGUUCUAUCUUAGAAGAUUUUAAAAGACUAGUUGUGGAGGAUUUUGAUAUGGAAGAAUAUUAGGGUUAGUAAGAAUAUUUGGUUCCGUACGUCAGUGUCUUUUGUUCUUUUUUUUAAUUGUUUUUAUAUUUCUUUUGUCUUUAUAAAACAUUUUAUUUUUAUUUUUUUUCAUUAAACUUUUUAAAAAGGUUUUAAUGUAUGUUUAAUUUCAUUAACGAAAUGUUAGUUUUAGCAUUAUGAAAAAUAUUAUACUAUAAGAACAACUUAGUAAUGGUAUUAUAGUAAGGGGGUAACCAUCUUAAAUUUUUGUUCCGUUUGGCAAUAUUCCCUUUUUAUUUAACAAAGACGGUCCUGUAUUAACCAAAACUUAACUUUCUACAUUGUAUUCUUGUUUCUUUUCGUAUUAAUUGGUUAGCUAUUUUGGGUUUGAUAUUUGUAACCAAUGUUUAACUGAUGAUGCCCACUUCUAAGUUCAAAAAAAAAAUGAUGCCCACUUCUACAUAUUGACUUACAGUGACAAGAAAGAGGAUAAAAUAAAUAAAGUAGAUGAUGUAAUGGAUUACAUUCUGUGUUGAAUAUUAAUUUUGUUGAAAGAUGUACCGGUUUAUGGGGAAUGUAUGAAAUUAUGGAGUCGGUGGAGGUGGUUAUUUGUAGACUUGUAGUUGUUGUAAUUAAAUAGUUAAUUAGACCAAAUGGGUGAUUUAAUAAUACUUAAGUUUAAAAAGGUUGUGUUUGUAGAUAUAAACGAUAAGGUGUUGGUGGGCCGAUAACCAAAAAGGCACGUGACCAACAUUCCCGGUCUCCGGGGUAGGAGAUAUUCAAGAAGACAAAAGUAACCUCCAAUUAUCGGACGUCUGAAUGGUCGUAAUCUUGUAGUAGUUUGGAUAGUUUGACUUUAUUCACCUUGAUUGAUGCGCAAUCAUCGGGAGAGCGUUAAAAGCAGCUCCCAUCUAGAGUCGUCGGCACAAAGAAGGAGUCGUCGGCACAUAAAUCUUUGACCUCUUACUACUUUAGAAAACCGUUACGGUUUCUACAAUUAUAUGAGAGCCCUCCUCCCCGGAUCGAACUCCCUUGAAACAAAAAACAAUUAUGUGAAAAGUUUGAGUUUUGCUUCGACUCAAACAGUUUUAUGGUAGUUGGUAACAUGCGAUCCAUCUAUUCUCUAGUAUUAGUUAAGGUAUUAUAAACUCUAAUUAUGUAAUACUAGAGCUGUUCCCGGGCUACGCCCGGUAAUUUCCAUAAAAUUGUUAAAGUAAAAUAUUAUAUUAGAUUAAUAUAUUUUUAUCUAAAUUAUGAUUAAUAUAAAACAGUGUUUGGAUUAAAAUAAUCACUGAAUGUAAGAAGAAAAGAAAAAGUAUUAUCGAUAGUUAUUGAUAUUUAUUGAAAUAAUGGUUUCAUUGGCAUAGGUAGCGGUAAUGUAAAUAUUAAAUAUUUAAGUGUUAACGAAAUAUAAAACAAUUCCAUUAUGAAUAUAAGACAACCAUUAUAAUGAUUGGUUCUUAUUUGUAUAAAAUAUAUAUGCAUAGAAAUUAUUAAUUUAUAGUUUUAAUUGGACUAUCUAUUUCCAUAGAAUUUUAUAACACAUUAAUAUCUUUUUUUUAUCAAUUUGCGUAAAGUUUUGUACCGGCUGAAAUUGGAUCUGAGAAAAAGCAAUAUAUAAAUUUUUUAAAAAAAUUUAAGGUUUGGAAUUAUAAUUCUUUAAAAUCUAACUUUUUUAUAAAUCUUUUUAAAAGUUUUUUUUCCAUAAACUGUUUUCUGAAAAAAAAAUUGAAAAUCGAAGUUAUGUUUGAAACUAUUUUUAAUUUUUUUUUAAUAUUCUUAAUUAUUUUUUUUAUAUAUUAUUAUAAUACUAUAUUUUUAUUCCAAAUACCAAAAAGAAACUUAAACCCCUCACGAAAACAAAGAAAAUGGUUGAUUCUGCAAUUUUUUUUAUUCAAGAAGGAAAAGCCAUAAAAAGCUAUAAAUAGAUUUGUACGUAGAUGGACCAACACCGAAAAAACUCAAGUAUUCCAGAUCCUAACAAACUGAACAAUGGAAUGAAAUAUCAUAAUUUCCACCACUAAAACAGAGCAGAAUAUGAUAAGCUCUCAUCAAAAUCCCUACACUAUAGUGAGACCAAUAUUCACAGAUGAGUAAUAAAAGACCAAAACAGAGAAAGCUCAGGCCUUUCAUACCAAAGGCACAUAAAACAUAGCAGAACGUAAAUGAACACAGAAUAAUCGAAAAAAUAUAAAGUGGACUAAGAGAAACAAAACCCAUCAGUUGAAACCAACGAUAAAACAUCAAUACCCUAUGGUGAAACCAAUCUACAAAAAACAAAAUGAAACUGGCCAAUAUUAGUGUGACAAUACCUGUUCGAAGUAGAAGAGAAUUGGAGAGAAGCAUUGGGCUGAGAGAGGCGUUGAAGAUUAGUUAGGCAGUGUCGUGCGAAGGGUUUUAGGGGCCUAAGGCAAGUUUUAAAAAAAAAAUUAUAUACAACUAUAAAAAAAAAAAUUUCUAAUACGAUAUAUCACCUUUGCGAAAUACAUAAGUUUAACACUUACAAAAAUAAGUUUAUUACGUAAAUAUGCUAUGUUAUGUCCUAUAAGAAAAAAGUAUAUGGAUUUAGAAAUAGAGUUAUUCGAUUCUCAUGAAAAGUUUUUUUUAGAAAUAAAUUUAACCAACUAAACUAGAAAUUAUUUUAAAUUUUGGGGCCCUAAAAACGUAAUAUUAUUCGGGGGCCUAAGGCGAAUGUCUUUUUCAAUACACUGUAAGCACGCCUCUGUAGUUAGGUUAAGGUUAAGGGGUUUUUCUUUCUAAGCAUAAGAAUAUAUGAUAAUUGUGAAUAUGGAAAACUUCCUAAAGUUUCACAAACGUAUAAUUGAUUAGUUCAAAUAUUCCUACCGUGAAUGUGGCACAUGCUCUAAACUUUCUAAAUGUGUAUAAUUGAUAUCAGUAAUAUAGAAUCCUGAUAAGAAAUCAUGGUAUAAUUGUUUUAAAAACAUACAGAAACUCAAUCUAUUUUCUACAUUUUGCUCAGAUAUGUAGAAAGUCAACAGAGAUUAUAAGAAACAGCAGAGUCUAUAAGAAAGGUAGUUCAAAUUAUUGAAAGACAAAGUCUGAAAAUGAAAACAAACUAAGCAUUGUCUUUAAGUUAAACAAAAACGUACUUAAACAGCAGCAAAUUUAAAAAACCAACUCAAUACUUAAACUGCAUCAAGGAACCGAGGCUCUAAUUCUCACAUCUUGGGCGUUAGCUCUGGAUCAGCACUGCUACACAUCCGCUUGCUCUCCUCAUCUCCAGAGACUCCACGGCCUUUGAGAGGUCCACAGACGUCGUUUCCAGUCUGCGCUGCUUCCUCGGACAUUGCAGCAAUGUCAUUUCUCACUGAGGCUUCAGUGGGUGGUGUUGGGUCUAGAGACACGAUCUUGGUGACAGUGAUAGCUCGGGUAUUGCCUGAGAAGUUGUGGUCUGUAACUUUCACACAGAACUUAUGUGUUUGUCCGAUGGUGCUGAUUAGAGCUUCUGGGACAGGCACCUCAUGGUCAGCUCCUUCGCUCUUAUUAGCCUUACAUUUAAGUACAAUAGUGUCAGUUUAAAUCACUUGAGAGUUUAGAAAACAAAAAAGUAAAAAAUAACUUGAGAUUACAAACUGGUGCUCAGUUACCUCAAAGUAGCUACUAACUAACUCGGAUGCGUGCCUCCCAGUCAACUCCCGGCCAGCAUCUCCAAGCAGGACAAAGAAAGCUUGUUCACUAUUGUCGUAAACAGAAAUCUUUGCACGGUAUCUGGUGUGACAGAAUCAAAAAAUAACGUCACAAAUGUGAUAAUCAAAACUAAUACCAGUGAAAGCGUAAUUGAAUAUUAAGGCGAGAGAACAUACUGUGCAACGCCAUCUGUGUUAACCUUCUCACAUUUUGGGUUUGUACAAAUCAACGAACUCGGGCCAUUGGUAGCCUUAGAAUGGCACCCACUGCAUCCAAUAUAGUACCAAGGAUAGCCAUGCACAACAUCAUCAAUCGUAGCUGUGCACUCAAAAAAGGCAGCCUGGACGGUUUAUAGGCAUAUGGUUAAAAUAUAUUCAAUAUAAUACUUAGCAUGAAAUAUAUAUACUUUGGUCACAAUAUUUAAAUAUAUUAGCGUUUACUUUUACCUUGGCGGAUUCCUGAGUCAUGUAGGAGAAUAUCUCUGCUAUACUCAGUGUCUCACGCUUAGUGAUGACGUCUGCGCUAACCUGAUUAGCAAUCUCUGGGUUAGAGCCCAGCCUGAAACAAAAUGAAAAGCAGUGCUUCAGUCAUUCAAUGCUAUAAGUGUAAGUGUUGGAAUAGAUGCUGAAGACGGGAUACAUACCAGGUGAAAUAAUCUCUGGUUGGUUGGACAUCAUAGUCCAUGAAAACCCGUGUAGAAGACAUAGAGGUCAGGGCAAGGGUACCUGCUCAGUAAUGGAAGAGUCAUUAAAAAUGAUGUUGUGAAGAUUAGCCACUAAUGUUAAGAAGAAAAACGUUUUAAGAAUGGUAAAUAAGCUACUAUCACGUAUGGGAACAACUAUAAACCACCCGAAAACAUGUCACAAUUAUCACUGGAAAUGUAAGUAUAAAGAGAUAAGUGAUUAAGUAAAAUUAGCAACCAAUGACAAAGAAGAGAGAAACUUUUUGUAAAACAUGUCAUAAUUAUCACUCAAAACAUGAGUUCAAAGAGCUAAAUAAUUACCUCCGAGACGUUUGGUGUUAACAGUGGUGACCAAAAGCACUGUGGGAGUGUUUUCACAGGAGUUGAACUUCUCGCAGAAGUCUGUUGCAGCCUGGUCCCAAAGGUAAAGCUUCAUCACAGGUCCCCUGCAAAGAUAAACUCAUACAGAUUUAAGAACUACCGAGAGAUGAUUACUUGGAAUGAAAGAACACACUUACUUAUGUGACUGCACGUGAACCAUAAUGUGCCGAGUGGUAGCGAUCUUCGCAUGAUCAAGGCUGGGACGCUCAAUUAGAGUCUGGCCAUCGACCAGCUUCAUGUGACCAACAACAUCUAUAACAGUUUCAUGAAAAGUGUACGUUAGAUGACUAAUAAAACUCUAGAAACCAAAUAUUUGAACUACUUUUUUAACCCUGAAAAUCUAGAUUUCUUUACCUAAACAGGAGAAUAGACGAAAAACUACAUACAAAGCAAUGUAACUGAGAUUUGUAAAACUAAUAUGCUUACCGUAGAGGUCGCCUUUGAGAUCACAGUUGGCUUCAAAAUCUUCGUAUGAAUGAAACCUAAAACGGUCUUCAUCAAAAGAGAUGGGAAUCUCGCGAAGAACAGACAUCUCAUAGUUCCACGCGAAAGACACGGUUGCGACAUGAUCAGCAACCCGAUACACCGGUUUGUUUUUCGACCCGUAGAAGUUGAUGAGUUUGUAAACUGAUCCACGUUUCAUGUCAGGUAAGUACUUCUUAAUUCGUCCUGGUGGGAUGAAUCCUUGAAUAACAGUUCCCUAAUGUCGGAAAAAAUAACAAAUCACAAAAUGAGAAUGAGAAUGAAACCUUAGAAAAUAAUGAAACCGAAGAAUUAAAACAGAAACAAUUGAAACAAUACUAUAACUUAUUAACAAAGCGUAUAAGCACACGUCUAGAUAAUCAUCGAAACCGUAGCUUAAAAUUCUCGGAAACAUAGAUAUAAAACUGGAAACUAUUUUUGAAGAAUCGACGCACAAAAUGAGAAUGAGAAUGAAACCUUAGAAAAAAAUGAAACCGAAGAAUUAAAACAGAAACAAUUGAAACAAUACUAUAACUUAUUAACCAAGCGUAUAAGCACACGUCUAAAUAAUCAUCGAAACCCUAGCUUAAAAUUCUCGGAAACAUAGAUCUAAAAAAUGGAAACUAUUUUUGGAGAAUCAACGCACCUGUUCGUCAAUGAGGAGCAUUUCGAGGCCAAUCAGCGUCUUCUUGACCGGGUUUCGAGCCUCCCAGAAAUGAAUGAGCCGGAAGCGAAGCUGAGUCUCGUGUGGACCUAGAGAGACAUCCUUGAAGAACAUGACUUGUUCAUCAGGGUCGGAGGAGACAGGAGACUUCCCAUUUCGUUUCAUCGCCAUGGAUCGAGAUUUGAGUGAUUCUAGGGUUUUGGAUAAUAGAGAAGAUCAGUAUAUAAAGGAGGAUGAAAAGGAGUAUAUAAAGGAGGAUGAAAAGGGGGAGGUGAAACGAAAUCAUUAAGGAGGUAUAUUGAUUGUAUAGAAGUGGAUCGAUUAGAUCUCGGCUUCUCUGCUCAUCGAUCGGAGAAGACGAAGAGGUAGCAGUGAUGAGAAUCUCAUCCCUCGACGGAUUCUUCGAGGUUUCAAUUACGGCAAAAACGACGCUAAACUCCAAUAUAGGCCACAAAACUUUGGUGAAGCCCACAACAUUCGGUGAAGCCCACAACACAUACCAGAAACAAAUCGCAAACCGCGAGCCCAGGAUGACGUGUCAAUUUCGACGCUCCUGAUUGGUUCGAAUAAAUAAUCCGACGUGGACACCUUACCUGCUCUCUAUAUCCCCCUUUUAGUAUUAUAGAUGGUAUUUAGUCAACACUGUAGCACUAAGUGCAUCUUUCUCAAAAGUGACCGGAUUAUCUGAUAAGGUAUGUACCAAAAUGUUUUUGUAAUAUUCUUAAAACACUGUUCACUUUGUAUCAUUUGUAUGUUGGAUUUCUUUAAAAGUAUAAAGCGAAAAUGUAGUUCAGUAGUUAAACACUGAAGGUGAUUGAUUGAGCUAUAAGAAAUGUUUUUGGCUUUAAUUUUUAUACAUCCUUUAAAAUUAUCAAUAAUAUUUAGAAUAGUUUUUAAAACUACAAUAAUAAAAUAGCUGUAAGAAAUUAUUUUCUAAAACAGCUUUUUUAGCUGUAGAAAAAUUGCUAUAACAGUAAAAUUUAAAAGUAUAUUUCUUUACAUCUAAAUAAAAAAAUUAUACAGAUUAUAUUUUACAACAAAUUUUUUAUUGUUGCAUCCCAACAAAUCACCCUCAUUGUUGACCUUAUAGUCAGUUUAAACUUUAUACUGAAAAACCAACUUUUAGAUUACAAGAAUACUCAUAUAUGUUAUGAACGAUGACUAAAUUCUCGAGUAGAAAAUCCCUUAUAUAUUAAAGAAGAAACAUUGUAAUAAAUGCGUUCACACUAAACUGGACACAUUUCACGUGUAGAAGCAUUGUAAUAAAUGUGUUAACAUUAAAAUGGACACAUGUCACAUGUAGAGAGUUUUUCAGCCAAACUCUACAUCAAUAUGUUCACACUAUGUACUUUACGUUUUUUAAUAUAAAAUUCACAUGCAUGGUUCUUCUUUAUGUUAUUUUUAAUGUUUACGAAUAGAUCUGGACAAAUUAUUCAUAAAUUUUGAUUCGAUUCGUUAUCCGUUUUGACUCGAACUGAAAAAUUAGGAUAUUUGUUACUCUACGAAGUAAAUCACAAAUAUCAAUAGAACAAAUAUCCAAUUUGAUCCGUUAUAUAUAUAUAUAUAUAUAUAUAUAUAUAUAUAUAUAUAUAAACUAGGUGUUUUGCCUGCAUAUGCGGGCAUAAACUUCUUAUGAAUACUUAUUAGUUUAUGUUUUAUUAAUCUAAAACCAACGUAAUAAGUAAUUAUUUAUGGUUUUAAAUAGUUAGAUCAAACAUCAAAGUAUUUAUAUAUGUCAAAUAUUUUUUUAUCAAAAUAUAUACUUACUUUUGUGUUAAUUUUUUUUUAAAACACUCAUAUCUUAGAAAUAGUUUAGAAAAUAUCUUUAUAUAAUUUUUUUGCUUGACUAAUAUUUAAUUAUCAAUUGGUUUUUUAUCUUAACUUUUUAACUUUUAUAAUAAAAUAUUUCUUUCAGAUAGCAACACAAUAUAUAUAAGAAUAAUCUUAUUUUUUAUAAUUCUAUUACAUUAUUAUUAUUAUUAUUUUGUUCAAAAUUCUAUUAUAUUAUUUUAUAAUCAAUUAUUUAAUGUAACAUAUAACAUAUAAACUUUAUACUUUUAAAAUAAAAUUCAUUUUUAAUUAUAUAUAAAAUUCAGUAAAGAUAUUGUUUAAAAUUUGUUUUUAAUAUAACAUAAAAAUUUAAUAUCAUUAACGUUCGUUUUUAAUUAUAUACAAGAUUCAUUAAGGAUAAUUUUAAAUUAAUAUAUUAAUGACUCAGCUAAUAACAAAUAAUAAAUCAAUGAUUUAGGUAAAACCUAAUAAAAACAUGACAAGUAAACAAAAUUACCUAAGAUCAUGGAGAAAAUGACAAAUAAGCAAAAUCACUUCAUAAAUAAUAGUAUAGAUAUAUUUAAGGAAUUAUAUAUAAGUUAUAUAUUAUAGUUUAUAUAAAUUUUACAAUAUUUUUGUUUUUAAAUAAUUUCAUUUUAAGAAUUUUAUUUUUCAUGUAUUAUUUUGAAAAAAUAUCAUUUAAUAUUAAUUAACAAUAUAUUUAUAUAUUUAUCAACCAUCUUUAUAUUCUUUUACAUACACAUACAUGUGCACAUUGACGUGAACACAUUAUAACUAAGUAUUUACCACAACUGAAAUAUCUAAUUUUUUGAAAGUUAAAAUAUUCUUUUUCUUCAUUCGUCUUUCACUAUCGACCAAACUGUAGUAAAAUGAUUUGUUUUAAUAAUUUUGUUUUUCUUUUUUUUUAACUAUUAUUCGUUUUGAAACUAUAAUAUGAAAUCAUUGGUUCGACAUUGCGACUAUCUAAGAUUCAUAACAUGAAAACAAACAAAUAAUAAUAAUUGAUUAUUACAGGAAAAAAAAAACAAAAACAUCAAACAUUUUAACCGAACAAACUAAAUAAAUAUUGAUUAAAAUGAUAGUUAUAUUUUAGGAGAUUAAAAACUAAAAAAUAAUUUAAAACCGAACCGAUAUCCAAAUUAAACAGAUUAAUAUCUUUUUAUUAAAAAAUAAUAAAACUAAUUAUCACAUUUUGUUCAAUGCGCGGAUUAUUACCAAGUAAGUUAUUAUAUAGGUUUCCUCGGUCAAUGACACUUAAUAAAAAAUGGGCCAUUGUCGUAGAUAUGAUAAUAGCACAUGGGCUUGGGUUUAGAAGUCCAUUUUCCUAUAACUUAAAUUGGAGAAACAAAUGCAAAAACAAAAAAAUUCUUAUAGUGGGUGCGUGAAUUUGGGCUAUUUAAACCAUUUGCUUUUGAAGUCAACGGAUGGCUUGUGGAGCGAUCUAAAACAUUGCAAUCUGUAAGCACCAUGUGGAAUGGAAGAAUCUCGAUUCUCCUUUGGUUAUCUUUUCUUUUGAUGCUGUAACUAUAUAUUAUAUUAUAUUAGUUUUUUGUGGAAUUGCGUAAGAUUCUCUUUGGUAAUGAGAUUGAAAAUUAGAUUAUACUUGUGAUCUAUGGUAAAACCGAGUCAUGUGAUGGCAACUUCUGACGGCCCACGUGUCCGUCUCACUCAGUAUCUUUCACCUUCAUUGUGGGUCCCAGUGUGGCUGCCCAUAUCGGGACAACUUCCCAUGCUUUUGGACAUUUGUGAAUGAUAAUAGAUUUGUGUUUUUCUUACGUUUCCAAUUAAAGAUGAGGAUAUAAUCUAGUUAUUAACACCUUAAAUAUGUGUUUAGUUUCUAUGCAUCAUCUCACAUCCAGAGUUUGGAUAAAAGAUGACAAAAUCUACAAGGCUGCAACUUUGAAAAAAAAUAAUGAUAAAUUUCUUUGUUAAUCAAGUUAAUUUUGAUUUGGAAUGAAUGGGUGACUGCAUGAAAUCUUGGAGUCGUCAUGAUUCAUUAUAGAAAAGACUGAAAAGAAACUACAAGUAGUUUGCGAAGGCAGUUAGUUAUUGUGGCUAUGGAAAAGUGAAAAUUAGGUAUUUUGAAUUUGAUGAAGCUUCAUUGCAUUUGGUUCUAAUUGAUGACUAUAUUAAAAUAAAAUUACGGUAAAUUCUUUGUUUCUUAAAAUUUAUAUCAUUUUUUUUGCCCAUUUAAAUUAAUUUUUUGGUUAAAGUAUUAACAUCAUUUCUUCGGAAAUUUUUUAUAAAGGAAUGAAUUUAUAAAGAAAAAAAUUUUCUGACAAUUCUGAUGAAAAAUUAAAUGAACAAAAAAAAAUAUUUUAUUUUUUCCGUUUUUCCAAGUAAAAGUUUAUUUUUAUUUUAUUUAUUUUUUUCUAUUCAUCUGGGGGAAGCGUUGUCAAAAGAAAAUAAACAAGAAAAUAUGUUACCUUGUGAUUAUUUCACGGCUCUUUAGAGCAUCCACAAUGGUGGUACUCAUUGUGGAGUCCUUAGGAUUAGAAUAAUAGUUUUUUUUUUUUUUCUUAAUAGUUAAGGAUUCUUGUUGAGAAAUGUGUGUACAAUGGUGAUCCCUAAGUUGGAAUCCUUAGGUUAUUUUUUUUUUUUUUUGGUUUAGUGAAAUAUAAAUUUUAUAUAUUAGAUGAUUAAAUACAAUAACUUAACAUAAAAUACAAUAAAUAAACAUAAAAUACAAUAAUUAAACAUAAAAUACAUUAAUUAAACAUAAAAAUACAACAAGUAAAGAAAAAAAAAUAAUUUUACAUAAAGAUAGAAUAAUUCCUAAUCUUCAUCACCAAAUUUAUUCCAAAUAUUUUGAAUUAAAUCAUUUUUCAAUUGUUCAUGCAUUUGCCUAUCACGAAGAUCAUUCCGACUCGGAAAGAUAUUAUUCAGAUUUGUUGGCCUCUCCGUUUCCACCUCUGAACAUCUGGGGACGUCUCCUUCUUCAAAUUCAGAUAUAUCAAUACGAGAGUAUCCAUCCCGUUCAUCUUCGACUAUCAUAUUGUGGAGUAUGAUACAUGCUCUCAUAAUCUUCCCUAUCUUUUCAUUUUCCAAAGUUUUUACCGGGUUUCUCACAAUCGCAAAUCGAGCUUGCAAUACUCCAAAAGCCCGCUCCACAUCUUUUCGGGUUGCUUCUUGGACUUUAGCAAAUAACUGUUGUUGAGGACUUUGAGGGAGGGUGAUAGAUUGGAUAAAUGUUGACCAUUUUGGAUAUAUACCGUCUGUCAGAUAGUACGCCAACUUAUACAUGUGUCCGUUGACCACAUACUUUACCCUGGGAGCUCGACCUUGUAAAAUGUCAUCAAAAACAGGAGACCGAUCGAGGACAUUGAUAUCAUUUAAGGUACCUGGAGGACCAAAAAAAGCGUGCCAUAUCCAAAGAUCUUGUGAAGCUACAGCCUCUAAGACAAUUGUCGGUUUUCCUGAUCCACGUGUGUACUGACCUUUCCAAGCGGUUGGGCAAUUUUUCCACUCCCAAUGCAUACAGUCAAUGCUCCCGACCAUCCCAGGAAACCCUCGUGCCUCUCCAAUAUCGAGUAGUCGUUGAAGAUCCUCCGGUGUGGGUCGUCGUAGAUACUCAAUUCCGAAUAAUUGUAUUAUUCCGUCAGUGAAAUUAUGUAAACAUGAAAGUGCAGUGGUCUCACCAAGUCGGAGAUAUUCGUCAACGGUGUCAGCCGCAGUACCAUAAGCAAGCAGACGAAUAGCUGCAGUACAUUUUUGAAGUGCAGUAAGACCCCACCUCCCGGUCGCAUCUCUUCUUUGCUGAAAAAAUGGAAAGCGCUCUGAUAGACCAUGAACAAGACGCAAGAAUAAUCUCUUAUUCAUGCGGAAACGGCGUCUGAAUAAUUGAGACGAGAAUGUCGCAUCUUCGCUGAAAUAGUCAUUCCAUAAGCGGUCUUGUCCUGUUUCACGGUUUCGUUCUACAUAAGCACGUCUCCUUUGCGGUCUGCUUUGGGCCUCCACUAUGUCGUUGUAUGUUUCUUCCAAGUAUUCGUCGCAAAUUUCGUCUAAUCUUUCAUCGACUUCAUCGGAUGAACUCGAUGAUGACAUAUCUAGAUAUCCUGGUUCGGAAAAUAAUAAAAUUAUGUACAACCUUUAAAAAGACUUGCCACUAAUUUUUUUUAAAUUUUUUUGUAAAAUUCUUGUAAUCUCAAAGUGGUUGGUCCAAGAAAUUCUUGUAAAUUUCUAAAAUUAUCAACUAUUAGGAGAGUACUCAAAUUCUAAAAUUCUAAAAUUAUCAUUUAACAAAUUUUUUAAAUUUUUUAAACACUCAAAUAUAUUUUAUAUAGACUAUGAUCGGUAAUAAUUAUGCAAAAUGAAGUGAUCCGUUUUCAUGUUUUUCUUGUUAGAUUGCGAUUCAUGUUAAAUGAUGUGAUCCGUUUCUUUAAAACAAUUACUACAUGAUUGUUUCAUCAAAUGAAGUGAUCCGUUUCUUUAAAACAAUUACUACAUGAUUGUUUCAUCAAAUGAAGCUAUCCGAAUAUAAAUGAGUCUUAAUGCAGAAGCAAGUUACAUUACAUCAACUUAAGCAAGUCAAAUAUAUUACAAGAAGUCGUUAAGAGAUAGAGUUACCUAAUUAAAACAGAAGCUAGUGAAUACAACAACUUGGUAGCAACAAGAUUACACCUUCUUGUCAAGAGUAGUAGCAAACGGAAAUUAAAGGAAGGAAGGAAGAAGUGAUGGAAACAAAGCAAACGAGACACAAAUUUAUAGAAGUGAAGGAAGAAGUGAUGGAAACAAAGCAAACCCGUGACUUGGUUUCACAACUCCAAAUUCACCCGUGACUUGGUUCACAUGUCCUACUGUUGAACCUGAAACAAAAAGACAAGACUUAGUAAAGCAACACAACACGACAUGUAUCUACGCAACAAGUACCAUUGUAAUAAAAGACUUUGCAAAGCAACACAAGCCGACAUGUAUCUACUACGCAAACAAACAAGAAUAACAUCAUACCAUAUCAGACAUAAGUUUGAGUUUGAGAGAUGUUUCCAACUCAGUUAAUGGCUCUUUUUUGGCUAAUAAACGAUGGAGUAAUUUCUGGUUAAACAUAUUUUGUUUCAUCUCCAUGAUGACUUGUAGAUGUGACAACUCCUCUUCUUUACCACUCUUCUUCUUCUUUGUAGCUGCUUUCGCAGCCUUGACCCCGAUCGGUCUCCCCUCUUGUUGUCCCACUUCCUCGUCUGUAUCAACCUCCAAGACUAGCUUCCGCUUUUCCUUCCCACCGUCAUUAUCGACAAUAGUGGAGCACCAUUUCUGGUCAUGCCUCAACUCCCUCCAGGCGUGUUCCAGACCGAACUUGUGGCCUUGAUCAUUGAAGAAGUAGUCUAGUGCAGCUUUCAUGAGGUCAUCAUCAUUUUGACCACUUCUCUGCUCCCUCAUAGCGUGGUCAUAGCAACCAACGAACUUGGAGACUUGAUCGUUAAUCCUACCCCACCUCUUCUUGGCCGGAAUAAUCUCUCUCGGUAUUGUCCCCACGAGUUGAGGGCUUGCAUUGUAGUACUCGAUAAUCCUCUGCCAGAACUUACCAGCUCUCUGCUCAUUGCCCACCACUGGAUCUUUACUGGUGUUGAGCCAGGCACCAAUAAGUAUUUUAUCCUCUUGCGGUGUCCAUUUCCUCCGGCUGUUGAUAGCAGAGUCGACAACAGGCUCACCAGACCCGACAACAGGCUCACCAGACUCGACAACAGGCUCGGUAGCUUGGCUACCGAGCCAAACUCGUUCGGGUGAAUCAAGGUCAAUAGAACAUUGACUAUACAUGAGGUUAACAUAACCACCGGUGUUAUUCAUUGUAAGAAAAAGGAAUCAGCAUUCAAAUCUACGCCUUAUACAUUGACUACACAUGCCUUAUAUAAGCGAGCUACAAGUAAGAAUUUAAAGCCAAUUAAAUCUAAGUAGUUAGAACAGAUAGCACCAAUCAAAUCUCACUUUUAGCAAUAAGUUCUCUACAACCAAACAAGUACCAUUGUAAUAACGUUUUAGUCUAAGUAGUUAGAGCAGAUAGCAUUUAUCACCAAUCAAAUCUCACUUAUAAAUGUUUCUCUACUAGAAACAUUUUACCAAUAAGUUCUCUACAACCAAACAAGUACCAUUGUAAUAACGUUUAAUAACCAAUCAAAUCUGAGGAUUUAGGAAGGUUAAAAACAUUUAACACAAAGAGUUUCACUUUAAAGACAGCAGCGUUGUCAGUUAUUUUUCUAAGAGAGUACGAUGUUGUACAGUGUCUAACCUUAAAGACAGUGUCGAGGUCAGAUACUCUUCUUGUAAUCCUUCAAAGCUCUUCCUGGAAAACAUCCAAUAAAACAGGUUAAUUUUUUAAAAAAAAUAACAAGAAAAACAUUCAAAAAACAGAACGAAUGAAACUAACCUCCAAGAAUUAACACCAAAACGCAGAACAGAAGACAAACUACCAAUGCAAAGCAUUUUGUAACCAACGCUUUCUUCUGCGAUAACUCAUCACACACGGUCUUCUCCAGCUUACCCAGGUUCUGGUGAGUCUCAUUAACUUGAUCCUUAAGCAGCCUCAGCUGUGUCUGAAAGUCAAGCAUCUCCUCCGCAGUAGCAUGUCCUCCGCAGAAGUUCUGAACCGGCUGAGGUGGGUAGUGAACCGGCUGAGCACGGUUGUAGCUACUCUCAGCUUCAUCGGCGUACAUAGCGGCUUCCGCAAGAAAAAGUGAUGUAUUAUCAAACUCAUCUGAUGAUGAAGGCUGGGUGUAGCUAUAGUCUUGGCCCAUGUUUCUUAAAACUGAAAUAAAAAAUCAAGUAAGCGAAGAUACACAACAACAAUCACAAAGAUAAUCAGUGUUCGAGCAAUACAUACAACAAGCAAAAGUAAAACAUGACUACAACAAGCAAAACUAAGAAUUAUAAUCCGUAACAAAGACAAGAACUAAAACAUUCCUAAACUCUGGUAGUGGGUUCAAAACAUACGACGAGUCAAUAUGAAACAUAAACGGUGAUGAUAAGAAGCAAAUCCAAAAAGUCCAAUAAAAUCGAGAGACAGAAAGAGAGACACCUAGAGUGGUCAGCAAAGAUGGUAGACAAGAGGAUAUAGAAGAUGAGUAUCAAGAGCAAACCGAGAAGAAAACUACAAAUCUAUAUAAAUUCCCAAUAACUAACCUUUAAUCGCGUCGUUAACAACAAACAAGCGAAUUCAAAAAGAAGAAAAUUUUAAACCCAGAAGAAAACUCUAAUUUCGAUUGAAAUCCCAAAUCUGAUUUGAAACCCUAAAGCUAUUAAAACCAAACAAUUGAACCCUAUCUAGUGAUGAAAUCGACAUGCAUCAACCAGAGAAGGAAAAAAAAUAAACUACAAGCUUGGAUUCACCUUGAAGAAAGUCGAUCGCGAAUCGCCUCUGUUAUCGCCUCUCUCUCGACUCUGCUUUUUUUUUUCCUUGAAACGAUAAAAUGACGCGGCUCGCGUUAUUUCCACCCCCUAACCAAACCAACCCUAAACCGGAACCAAUCAGCUGUUGCCAGCGCAUGAAGGACUUGCUCCUUCGUUCUCUUAACGAAGGAUUAAUCCUUCGUUCCUCCAGUUUUUUUAAUGUUUGUUUAAUCCAAAACCUUAAGGAUUUAUCUUAAGGAAUGCUCUAAGGAGCAGCGUUGUACAUGCUCUUAGUCUUUGGAUACUUUAGUUUAUUGGUCCCAUUUCAUGACUCCUCGACCUUAUCUAUAUCUCCAUCAUACUCCACUUGCACUUUUAUAUUUCCACAACCUCCUCACUUAUUGUCUUUUGUUCCUAAGAUUACUUUUUGAACUUCCUAAAAUUAGUAUUUUUGCACUUCUUACCUUAGUCAAAUAUUUCUCAUGUAAUCACGUAUAUCUUUAAUUAAAAUCGGACACUGUAAAUGUAAAAUUAAGCAUGAAACGCAUAAUGAGAGCCCAACGAUUAAAGAAUUGCUAUUUAGGUCAAUUUACAGUAAAAUUUAAUGUACUUUAAAUUAUGGUCGAGAAUUAUAUAGUCUAGAGGUUUCAAAAAUAAUAGUAUAAAUAUCUUUUCGCAAAUAUCAUAUAUCAGAAGAAUUUCAAUGUAACAUAUUCUGAUUAAAUAUAAGACAUAAACAUAUAUGUAAUUAGAUUAAUUUUAAAAUACAGUUAUGUGAGGUAGUUGAAAAUUCACUAGUAAUAAAAUUUGCAAUAAGAAACUGAAAUCGAAUUGUUUUAAAUGGCAUGGUCAGUAGUGGAAAAACAAUUUUAAUAGAUAAAUAAUCAAGAUAUUUUGAGAAGCUGUCUAUAAAAGUCAUAAACCACUACCAAAAGCUUACUCCACAUCUCUCUCUACAAAAAGUACUCAGGAGCAAAAAAAAACGAAAUCAAAUAAAAAUAAAAUGGUUCUGCUAGAUAAGCUUUGGGAUGAUGUUGUUGCCGGACCUCAACCUGACCGUGGCCUAGCCCGCCUCCGUAAAAUCACCACCCAACCCAUUAAUAUCAGAGGUAUCAUCAUUACUAUGUUAAGCACUUUCUAGAUUGGUUGUAAACAUAACUAGAGAUUAAUUAGUGUGUAUGGAAAUAUAUAGGAGAAGGAAGCAACAAGGUGAUGCAUAGGUCGUUGACUAUGCCGACGGUAGUGAGCCCCGGAACUCCAACUACUCCGACCACUCCGACAACGCCACAUAAGGAUAACGUGUGGAGGAGCGUCUUUAAUCCUGGAAGCAAUCUCGCCACAAGAGCCAUCGGCUCCAACAUCUUUGAUAAACCAGCCCACCCAAAUUCUCCAUCCGUCUACGACUGGUGAGUUCAUUAUUUAUAUGUUAUUUUCUAUGAAGUCAUAUGCUUAAGACUUUAAAUCUUAGAUGUCAUGAUCAUAAAUCAUAAUAUAGAGGAACAAGUCAUGUGAUCGGGUCAGCUUUUAUGAUUCUGACUUUUGAAACUAGUUAAAGUACCGAACCGGAUAAAUCUAGGAACGGUUUGGUUCGUUUUAAUUUACUGAUAUCUUGGUAUGAGUUAUUUAUGUGUCAGCGAUGAUAACGAAGCUCAAAGGAAGGAACACGUGGCACUGUGUUUAGUAGGCGCGUGGAUUAAAUGAAAACCAAUAAAACAUUAUUCUGUUUUACCAUAUCAACCACCUCCUUUAUUGUGCAUAUGGUAUAGUCAUGAACUCUCUAUAGCAUCGAAGUAACCAAAGAUGGGAAAUACAAUCCUUUUUUAUUGUAUCACAGCCGUUGGUUGUUACGUAGCUUCAGAAUCAGAGAGUUUAGAUCAGUUGAUGGUUUACUUGUUGAUUGCACGUGUCGCAGGUUGUACAGCGGCGAGUCAAGGAGUCAGCACCGUUAAAAGCGAGUCAAUGGGAGUGACACAAGUGGGUGAUGUAAAUAUGGUGUCUAGAUCUACCGUCACGUGUCUGUCUAGGUUUUGCUUGUUUAUAUAACUGUCUUCCACCUAUGCAAUAAGUUUUCCUUUUUGGGCUUGGUUUGCAAGUUUCUUUUGUGUGUUUUUGUAGUAACUUGCAAGUGGAGAGGUUGAGUCUUCACUAUCUCGUUUGGUUUUGAUAGUGAACAUGCAUCUGCUUUUGUGUUUCUACUAAUGCUAAUAAAAUCAUGUUUAUAUAUUGUGUUAUUUUAGUAAAAUGUUGGUGGUUUGAUUGGUAGUGAAAGAUUGUUGUUUUUUGGUGGAAUGCACAAUCUUGUCCAAAAAUUACUUCAACUUUGAAGCUUGAGGAAUGAUUUGAGGCUCAUAAAGAAGAUUAAAAAUUUAGAACAAUUAUCAGAUGGAACCCAUGAACAAAUGGGCAAUGUCAAAGGUUACCAUACGACAAAAUGCAGUUUCCAUGGCAUUUUAGUUCUAAUGAAAACAAAGUAUUGCUUGUGUUUAUUUUGGAUUUGACAUACUAGUUUGGGUUACAAAUGGUUUCACAGUUCACACAAUAGAACCCUAAUAGAGUAAUGGUGGUCUAGGUAUUUAUGGAAUGAAGGUCCUUCGUGAAGAUAAAAAUAUGUAUGGACACUAUCAUUUUGGGCAGGGUUUUGUAAGUUUGUUUUUUGUGUAUUUUGUAGCUGUAACUUGUAACGUGAAGUACUAUAGAAUAACAGUUUGAAAAGAUAAAUUGUAACGUGAAUUGGAGGUUGAAUCUUAACUACAUCGUUAGAUUUGAUAGUGAAAUAUCUAUGCUUUAACUUUAAUGCUUUCCUAAUUAAUGCUAAUAAAAUUUUGUUUAUAGAUUGUGUUAUUUUACUAAAAUGUUGGUGGUUUAUGGUAGUGAAAGAGUGUUGUUUUUUUUUUGUGGAAUGUACAAUCUUCCCCAAAGAUGACUUCAACUUUCAAGCUUGAGGAAUGAACUGUGGCUCAUAAAGAAGAUUGAAAAAUUAGCACAAUUAUGAGAUGGGACCAUCAUGAACAUUACGCAAUGCCAAACGUUAACAAACGACAAAUGCAGUUUUCCUGGCAUUUUAUUUCCAAUAAAAUAUUUUGGAUUAACAUAUUAGUUUGGGCUACAAAUGGUUUUACACAAUAGAACCUAAAAGGAGUAAUUAGGCAUGGGCGUUCGGUUCUUCGAUUCGGUUCUUUCGGUUCUUGGUUCUCUUGAUUUUUUCAGUUCUUGUAGUCUGGUAACCAUUAAAGAACCAUUAAAAUUUCGGGUCAUAUCAGAUCGGUUCUUUCGGUUCUCGGUUCUUGAAGUUUGGUAACCAUGUUAGAACCAGAAUAAAAUGGUUCCAAUUGGGUUCGGUUAUUAAUGGUUACUUUACCCAAAUUAAUCUGAUGUAUUUGCAAAUAAUUGAAUCAAAACUAAUACCAAAAUAACAUUCAAACGAUUUUCUCAUUCAUACACCACAAUCCAAAUUGUGCGAAUAAAACAUCCAAAAAACACAAGUUUACCAAAAUAAUAUUCAAACGAUUUUCUCAUUCAGAAACCACAAUCCAAAUUAUGUGAAUAAAACAUAAAAAACACAAGUUUUUUAAACAAGCAAACGCCAAAGAGUUAAAAAUAAAACAUUCAAAAGUGGAAAAACACCAAUCCAGCAGAGAAAACCAUCAAGCAUCCAAUAAGUACCUGUUACAAUAUGUAACUAACAAAAUUAGAAAUGAAAAACUCAAACGAUGAAACACAAAACCCAUAAAUGGAAGAAUCGUAGGAACUAAGCUAAAACUAACGUAAAGACAAAAGAGACUAUGAGACACAAUAUUUUACCAGAAUCUCAUCAUAUUCUCGUUUUCCAGAACUAAGUUGGAAGUUGAAGAGAUUUUUUUGGAGAAUCAAAACUGUGAAUGAAAAAAAAAAUUCAAAAUUUUGAAAGUGUAUAAACUGCUGAUCAAUAAAAAAAAGUAAGAGUAUAAAAAAAUAAGAGUAUACACUAUAAAGAUAUUAAUGUAUAAGGUAACUAUAUAAGGGUUUUUUAUCCGGUUCUAUAUGGAUAUUAUUCGGUUCUCGGUUCUGUACGGGGCCGGUUCCGGUUCUUCGGGUAUAAAAUUUUAGUACCCAAUUGAAUAAUUCAUAAAUUUGGGUUUAGUUCGGUUCAGAUUUUUUUUCGGGUCUGUUUGGUUUGGCACUUCGGUUCCCGUUUUUUUGCCCACCCUAGGAGUAAUGAUGGUUUAGUUAUUUUCUAUGAAGGUUUAUUGGUAGAGUCCUUCGUAGGUGAACAUCCAGAUUACUUAUAGACUAGCUAUGCCGUGUUUUAUUGUGAUUAUGGUCAUCAUGUACCAUAGCACCGUCAAACGGUGUGGAAGAGGUUAAUGAGGAUCACAGUUAAUAGGAAGAAAGUGUGGAGUAUGGUUUGGGAUUUUAAUGAAAUCUUGCUGAUAAUUUUGGUAAAGCAACAUGAGCAGACUUACGUUAUGAUCAAUAAUGUCAUGUGCCCCCGGCUAAAUUUUUUUUUUUUUAAAGUUAACUAAUCCAAAUAAAAAUGCGACGUAGAACGCAAGUACCCUAUUGAUUCUGAAAAUGCCUAGGAAACAUUGCUCUUUCGAACUCAUUGAGAUUCACCGAUCUACCGAAAACAAAUAUUCUCCUUAGGGCUUAACAAAAUCUCUUUAUAGGAUACCAAACCCAUUAAAUGGUUAAGGAGUCAUUUUCAAAAUAGAUUGUUGAUAAUUUGACAAACACAAAAGUCUAAAGAUUGCAAUACGAGUAAAACGACAUGUUUAUCUUUAUUUUUUUCAAUCUUUUAGUUUAGAUUUCAAAUAGUCUUUUUUUUUUUGGCUGCAAAUAUGUACUAAAUGAAAAUAUUGUAAAUAUUUUAUUUCUGAUUGAAUACAGUAUUAAAUGGUCGCCUAGCCGCCCUCUCCUCGAUGAGAUAACCUAUCCUCUUGUCGUUUCCUUACCAAAUCCAAACCUCAAACCAAUUCUGCCUGAGUUCGUUGUUAAUUUACUCUGUAAUCCAAUCUUACCUUCUCUCUCGAUCAUGGAUCCAUCCAAAGUUUUCACCUUUUCCCGGAACUUCGCCGUCUUGGUCAAACUCCAAGGCCCUGUAAUCUCUCUUCCCCCAUCUCACCCCAAUUCGUAUAAUCUUAUCUUAUCGAAACGAAGGGAUUGUUGAUGAUUCUGUGUUUAUAUUGAAGGACCCAAAGGGAUUAAAGAUGAGGAAACAUGCUUUUCACCAAUACAAGUGAGCAUACUCAUCUCAAAGCUUCAAACUUUUUUUUGUUUCUAUCAAUGUGUCUGAAACUUUUAUGUGUGUUUUUUUGGGGGAAGUUCUGGGAAUACAACACUUUCAGCUUCUGGGAUGUUGUUUCCAAGAAGUAUCUUGACUGGUGAUGUCUCAGCCAAGCUUUUGUGUGAAGAUGGUCAGGACAUGGCGCUGGUUUUGACUGUUGCCUCUCUUGUUGAGCCCUUCUUAACGUUGGGACAUAGAACUAGCAUCUCUCAGGUUAGAUAUACAUGAUUAAGUUGGCUUUCAGUGAGCUUGAUGUGCUAGUUUAAUAUUGGUGUCAUUUUUUUCUUGUAAAGGAGCCGGUGAAGUUGAUUCCUGGUGCUCGGAUUGAGAUUAUGGUGGAGGUAUGAGCGUAGCUUAUGUUGAAUGGUUGAGUGUUUUUGGAGAUUUCAGGGUGUGAUACAAUACAGAUACUUAUUCUUGUCAGGGUCAGUUAAACUCGGAGAAGGAAGAUCCUUUUUGGGUUCCUGCGCAACUUCUUUCCCUGGUAUGUUUGAAAUUUAUAGUCUUUCUUGCUAUUUGAAGCACUCUUGUUACCUCCCUGUGGGUGAUGGUUUAUGAAGCUACUGAAAUUGAGAUUUCCUCCAAAUAUCUAAUAGCUCCAACUCCCCGGCAACGGUGCCAAAUUUGAUAUCACUCAAAUUAUCCUAACGAGUGAAUUACUUUCUCAAAUAAGAGAUUCAAUCGUAGUACUUAGGGAUCGAAUCCACAAGGUGCUAGGGAACUAUAGAAAUCAAGGUUAUGCUAGGCAAACAAGUUUAAUAGGUAAUAAAUAUGAAAACAGUAAAUAAAUAAAAGCAAGGUGAACAAAGUAUUUGUUCGAUUGGUUGAUUGAGGUUGUAAAGAGUUAGGAGAAAUAGCUAGACCUAGGGAUUUAUCAAUCAAGAGAUUCAAAACUACAAUUCAAAGAUGCUAAUGGUUUAUAGAUUAAUUCUAGAACUCGAUUUUAAUAAGUAAGCAAUCCAGUUUUCGCAUGCAAUUGAUAAUCAGAUGUCUAAGUCCAGUCUCAGUUGUCGCUUGUUGACUUUGAGCGAGUGUCGAUCGAUGCUAUGGCCUGAGCAUCGAUCGAUACUUCGUUAGACAAGCAUUAACGACCUAAUCGAUUUAGUUCAACUAGAUUCAUAGAUCAACUCUCGUAUGCGCCUAUGUAUCUAAUCCAGCGAAGUUAGGGUUCCGUUAAUUGAUUGCAUUUUCGUGCCUCUCAACUAUCCUAUGAUUCAAGGUUCAAACAAUUAGUCACACUGUCGUGCUAUUCUAAUUUUUUUCUAACGGUAUAUCCCACUUCUAAUUUUUAAUUAAUAUGCUACAAGGUUGAUGUCCCUGCAUCUUCUGCUGCACUCCAGUCUCUUAUUGAGACUUCUGUUGGUUCAAAAGAUUCUGGUUGGGAUGUUGGUUGGUCUUUGGUCUCUGGUGAUACCGUUUCUCAGCCUUCAACCAAUGUAAGUCAAAUGACUCUUUGAUGGCUAGCUAGUUUUUUUGCAAAGGAAACAUUCUGAUCAAAUAGAAUUUCUGCCUGUAAUCUCUCGAGUAAAUAGAAGAUAUGAAGCGUUAUUUUGUAUUUUCUUCUUUGAAAUGAAAAUAUUCUUUCUACUUUACUGAGAUUCAGUUCUCGAUACUUCUUCCAGAUGAAACAUUACAGCAAGCCCUUGAUGCAACGUGAUGAGCCAAAUGAUGCUAAGUUUAUGGCCAAGUCUGCCACUCGAAUGGCUCUUCUAGGAGUCUCUUUAAGCUUAUUGGUAAUUAUUUUACUCCCCAUUGCAUUCUUUCUGAUUUAUAAUUCAUCUUAGUGAUACAGUGCCUUUAUAAUCUAUGUCUAACCAUUUUAGAUUAAUACUUGGUGAUGCAAUUUCUGUGAAUCAGGAUCAGCCAAACAUAUCUCUCGCUUCCCCAAGUAGCAAGGGUGAUACACUCUUAACACUUGGCUCUCCUUUUGGGAUCCUUUCUCCUCUACACUUUUUUAACAGGUAGCGUUGCUACAUUUUAGUCAGUUAUAGAUCAUCAGAAUCACCUUUCAACGCUGAGAAUCUAAAACUGAUUUGUAACAGCGUAUCAACUGGUUCCAUCUCAAACUGCUACUCGUCUGGAUCGCUAAAGAACUCACUGAUGAUAGCUGAUGUUCGAUGUCUCCCUGGUGUGUAGUAGUACCCUUUUCAGUAGUUCAUAUAUAUGUAAUGCUUUAUUUGUCUCUUCUCAAGUAGCUAAAAUUUGUUUUGGUUUCUUUCAGGUAUGGAAGGAGCUCCGGUGUUUGGUAAGAAUGGUCACUUAAUUGGCAUUCUGAUUCGACCGCUAAGGCAAAAGAACAGUGGCGUUGAAGUCCAGGUUUGUCAACGCCUACUCCACUUCGUUUGUGUUCAUUGAAAUUUUAUUGUAAUGUUUCAUACAAAACUGUAGCCUUCGGUAGCAGCUGGUGGUUCCAUGGGGAGCAAUCACAGCAGCUUGCAGCCACUUACUGCUUAAGGAACCAUCCGAUGAGAUAUUACGUAUCAAACCAGAUGCUAGUAUUCCUGUACAAGUGGCUGUUGGGAAAGCGAUGGAAUCGAUUUGUCUUAUCACGGUUAACGACGGUGUCUGGGCAUCCGGUGUUGUUCUCAACGAACAAGGUCUCCUACUAACAAACGCUCACCUUCUUGAGCCGUGGAGGUUUGGAAAAGGUGGCGUAGUAUAUGGUGAAGGAAACGACAAUGGUUUAAGACCGCAUGUCUUAGGAGCUCAGGAGUUUUCUUCCACGAGAAGUAGAUUUUGGGAACAGGAGAGUCAUACAUCCCCACGAAAAGCUCCAGCAGAUCUUCAUGUCAAGAAGUACAAGCACAAUUUCCUUCAGAGUGGGCAUAGAGACAUACGUGUACGAUUGUGUGAUCAAGAUUUUUGGACUUGGUGUCCUGCUAAAGUGGUCUAUAUCUGCAAGGAGCAGUUAGAUGUUGCCUUACUGCAGCUAGAAGAUGUUCCUGGAAAGCUCCCACCUAUUGCUGCCAACUUUUCUUCUCCUCCUUUGGGAACACCGGCACAUGUUGUUGGACAUGGACUCUUCGGACCUAGAUGUGGUAAAAGAUUUCGUUAAUACCAAGAUUAUCUUGUUCAAUCUGAUUUGUUAAUCAGUUCUGUUUACUAAUAUUUCUGAUAUGUGAAUAGGGCUUUCUCCUUCUGUUUGUUCCGGAGUUGUAGCAAAGGUAGUUCACACAAAGAAGAGAUUGUAUACGCAACCCUGUUUUCAAGAUGCUACAGAGUUCCCUGCAAUGCUAGAAACAACAGCUGCUGUGCAUCCUGGUGGUAGUGGUGGUGCUGUUGUCAAUUCAAGUGGCCAUAUGAUUGGACUUGUUACCAGGUAAACAGAAGAUCAUUCUCAAACACAGUUUGUACACGAGAUGAAUCAUUAGAUUAGACAAAGCUAACACAAGAUUAAAGUCUUCUUUAAUCAGAUUGUAGUUGAUUUGUUCAUCGCUUUGCUUCCAGCAGAAUGUUUAUGUUUUUGUUUGUAUCUGCAGCAACGCAAGACAUGGAGCGGGGACAAUUAUACCGCAUCUCAACUUCAGCAUCCCAUGCGCAGUCUUAGCACCAAUCUUCAAGUUUGCACAAGGUUUGUCUAAUCUUGUUUGUUCUUUGGCAUAUGGAAACAUAGCGGAGAGUAGUAGUAAGUGUUUGCUUGUCGUCUUGUAAACAGAUAUGCAAAACAUGGAGAUCCUACAAACACUAGAUCAACCAAACGAAGAACUCUCAUCAAUAUGGGCUUUGAUGCCAUCACUGUCACCAAAGCCUAAGCCAAACACUGCGCACUAUCUACCAAAGUUACUGAAAGAUGUUAAUAACAAACAAAAGAAAGGAUCACAGUUUGCCAAGUUCAUUGCAGAGUCCCAAGAGAUGUUUGUAAAGCCGACCAAGCUUUCCCGCGAUGUGAUCCCAAGCAAGUUAUGACAAAAUGGCAUUCUUUGCAGGGUUUGUAUCUUCAAUUUCUCCUUUAGCUUGUGGAUGAAGAUUACAAUGUGCUGGUACUGUUUCUGGAUUCCUCUGCUUGUAACAUAUUUAAACACUUGUGACACGAUUGCAACUGUUUAUCAAUCCUCAUUCUAUAUUUCUUGCAUCAACUUUCCCUAGCGGCUAAAUCCGAUUUUUGAACAGAAACCACAACUGUUUAAACUAUUCAUAAUUGCUUACUUUUUAGAUCGGUUGUUUUUUUUUUUUUUUUUUUUUUUUGUCACAGAGAUCGGUUGUUAUAUUACUAAGACUAGACGUUCAGGUCAACAUUUAGACUCAAUUGGGUAUUUGAAUUUUUUUGGUUUGUGUCUGGAUGGAUUAAAAUUCAAAAACUUCAAAUUCAAAAAAUUCAAGUACCUAAAAAUAUCAAAUUAUCAUCAUGAAACUUGAACCGGAAUUUUAUGUAAAAAAUAUUUUUGAAAAUCUACCUGAAACUGUAUCCGAAAAUCAACUUGGAACUUUAAAAAUAUACAUAAUAUUGAAAAUAUAUCCAAAAUAUUCAAAUACAUUUAGAUACCCAACCAUGUUUUUGGUAGGAUCUGGACCUGAACCAAAAUCCAUAAACUCAAAAUAAAAAGACCCAGUAAAUAUUUAAGCAUAGAUCUUGACCUGAACAAAUGCCCAUGCCUAACUAAGAAGUAAAAGCUGCGAAACAGUAAUCGAGACAUGGGUUGAAGUAUUGAAAGUUUGAAACACAUCGAGCUAAGCAUGUUCUCUUGGAAUGACUUUCAGAGUGAUUGAAGGUCUCAUACCACGUGACGUUGUCCGAUCGUUUCUAAGUGGGUUGAUUUUUUCUAUCAUAAAACAUACUUUAUGCAAACAUUAUUUUAUUUUAUAGGAUAGUAAUUUACAGGAAAUUCAUAGUGAGAAAAUAUCAUAUGCGCUGAAUACGUUCUAAAAAACCGGGGCCUCUAGCUCUGGUAGUAAAGGACCCUCAGCUGAGGUAUCUGCCAUCACGAGUUCGAAUCCCGGCCACCAGGAGAUUAAAAUUUGAGCAUCGCCGACGACACAGAUUAGUUUCUUGGGCUUAGGUAGCCUUUGGAGAAACUCUAUAAUUCAAAAAAAAAAAAAAAGAAUACGUUCUAAAUCAUUUAUUAGCGUUGCCGGGAGAAAACAUCUAGAUCAUGUGGAUCUCAAUGUUUAUAUUAGAGAAUUUGUACUUCCUACACACAACAUCUACCCUAUUUGCACUCUAUACCUUAUUUCCCUCCAAUUUUCUUCCCCCCAUUCUAUGGUAUCCCAUUUUUUUUAGUAUAUUGAGGUAAUUUGCUCUAUUACAUUCUUGAUAACCUAAAUGAAGAAUAUAUAACUCAAAUGUCAACGUAGCAAACGCCAGAGGAACCCCAAUAUCAUUUGUCGAGCUUCAUCAGAAUCGAUUGAGCCCAGAUGUUGAUCUCUUGCAUCUCUAAUCUGAAUUCCUAAACUGAUAUUAAAGCCAGGUUGACACGAUGGACGGUUUCCCACGUUAUAAAUGAUACUUCCUCCGUUCUUUAAUGAUAGAUUUUUUAGAAAAAAAAUUUGUUUCAGAAAUAUGUAUUUUUUGUGUUUUUUAUGAAAAAAUUGUAAAUUUCAAGAAAAUUAAUUGACUUUAUUGUAUUACUAUUGGUUAAAAGUUAUUGAAAAUUAAAAAUUACAGAAAACAAUACAUUUAUUAUGAUAGUUUAGUGUGUUUUCUUAAUAUAUGUAAAAAUACUAAAAAGUCUAUCUUUGUGAAACGGAGAGAGUAUGUUUUUAGCAGUGUUUUGAAAUGAUGGAUCGAGGAACUAAUAUCUGCAAUCAAAAUUUUAUAGUAAACUCAAAACAGUAAGAUUUAUCGAUACAACAUAAAGAAAUUGUAUGAACAGAUCUUUAGUAAGCUAGUUUUUUUUUUAGAACUGGAUUAGAUCGAUAAUGAAUAUGAUAAAUACAGAAGAUAAGGUCAAAUAGAUAAUACAAUUACAAAAAAGUAUAUCUAAUUUUUUUAGUGAAUUCUUAAUGUUGUUUCUCAAAUGAUGUGCUUGUCUUGUCUUUUACAUUGUUCAACUCGAUCCAGCUACUCUUGCAUCUCAAGUUUACGUGUCAUGCCUUGUUUCAUGGAAAUCGAGUUGUUAACUAACCGUUUGAUCAUAAGGUAACUUGGUCUUACCACUAUUGUGAUGUAAAGCUCACUAUCUCAAACUGCAAAAUAAUUGUAAGACAAAAAUAGCUGAACUUUGCUGAUGAGCUAUAUAUUUGUUAAAUAAAACCUGUCUCUAAUAGAAUUUUAAGGUGCCGGCUUUAUAUGUUAAAUCAUUCUCCGAUUUCUCAGCUUCUAGUUUAUUAAGUUCCUGGUAGAUGUCUGCAUAUAUACUAUACCCCUUUGAUCUUGAGUGGUGAAUCUCAAGUUACAAAAAAGCAGUUUGUUUCACACAGUGGCGGUCCGGAUCUGAAUGGUUCCUAAAGCGCAUAAAAAAAAUCUGCCCCAGUUAGAUCUUUUCGCAUUUUCGAUAUGCAAUUAGAACCAUGCAAAAUAUCAUUGUAACCCUUUAAUAUUUUCGUGAUAUCAUUGAUAACUCAUUUUAUUGUGUACAUACUCGGACAAACUAAUUUUCUAUAAACUUUUGUUUUUAAAUACAGAAACUAAGGUUGGAAGUACUAACAAUAUACGGUAAAAAAUCCUUUGUAGAUAGCAAUCAUCUGUUCAACUUGUAAAAAGUUAUGAUAUUUCUAAAAAAAAUCAGAACUAGAACCUAAUUCAUAAUAGCUUUAUGUUUGUUUAAAUUUUAGAAAAUUUUAUCGUUACUUUUUUUUUAUAAAUUCUUAAAACAAAUUACAAUAAUCACAAAAAAAAUUUGAAAAUAAAACUUACAUGGAAAAUUGGGAGAUGGAACAACAAUCAAUGGAAGACGUUACAAAUAUUUCAGAAAUAAAUAGCCUUAAGAGCUAAUUUAAUAUUUAUUUUAUACUUUAUAUUCAAUAAAUAAAAGUAACUACAAUAGUUACGAAAAACAAUAAGAUUCUUCAUAAAAAUGAUCGUAUAUUGAUAAAAAGAAUAAAGUAAAAUUCUUGUCAUCAUUAUCAAAAAGAAGAAAAUGAAGAGAAGGAAAAUAAAAGUAGAAGAAGUAAGAAUCGAAUCAACAAUCAAUAGGAUAAGAAGGGAAGUACACAAACUACUACACUAAUGAGACCUACUAGCAUUUGGUGUCCGUUGUUAAUAAUCCAUGUCGCCUAAAGUAUUUGCUUUACGAGUUUUAACCCAGGGCCGGCCCUUUCACAUCUUUAGAGAUUUCGCUUUGAUCACAAUAAUAAUUGAAACGAAGUUACAUCAUUUUAUAAUGAGCAGCGAUUUGAUAGGUUGAUAGCGAUGGACGGUGAAAAAAAACAAGGUGAAAUAAAAUGUGUAUUUUUUGUUUUGGUCGCAACUCUUUUUUGAAUCUGUUUCACUUUUUCUUUAACGUAAUUCGUUAUCAAUCAUCUUUUUAAUUAUUAUUUUUUUAUUAAUAUGAUGUAUCUCAGAUAUAUGAAAGAAUCCAGACUGAUUUUUGAGGAAAUGUGUAGUUUAUGGAUAAAUUCUUUUUUUAAUAUUCAAAUGUGACGAAAAUAAAAGUUCAUAUUCAUGUGGAUGUCUACGAGCAAUUAACUUGAUUUAAUUUUUGAAACAGAUGGAUCAAACUUGAAACGUGUUGUCUUCUCUUGUUACCAGUUGGCCACUACCAAUUAUUUUUGUAUAGAUUUUUCUUUAAAGUACCAAAAUAAAACAUUGUUUAAUUUAUAUUUAUCAUUCGACAUAUUUUGUUUGUUUGCUUUUAAAGGGAUCCAUUUUUUUGAUUGUCUGGAAGUAAAUAAAAAUCUUCCUUCUUUUCUUUUUGAACAAUUAAUUUAAUUUAAUUUUUGAACCAGAUAGAUCAAACUUGAAACUUGUUCUUUUCUCUUGUUAUCAGUUAACCACUACCAAUUAUUUUUGUAUAGAUUUUAUUUUAGGGCUAUUUAGGUGAAUAUACAAAAUGUGUGUGAUAAUUGCAGAUCUAUGCAUUUUUUUAAUUAUUUGCAGAACCAAGUAAUUUUUGUGCUGAUUUGCCAAUUAUGUCUUCGAACUGAGACGUAUUUAAUGACCUGCUACUAGGGUUGAGGAACAAAAUUGAUUUUUAUUACAAGUGAAUAGGAAGCGUAAUCUAUGAACUAAACCGGUUACAUUUGAGAUACUUGAAGUACUUAGAUAUUGAAACCGGAUAUAUGUUCAAUAAUUAAAAAGCGAUGAGUUGUAACAUAUUUUUCAAAAAGUGUGGCGCAAAUGUGAUUAAAAUGAAGAUAUUUUUAUACCCAACUAAGAUAUUUUAUAAACGCCAAAUAUUUUAUACACUUGUAAGAUAUUUUACAAUCCGGAUACAGUGUUAAUAAUUAUUUGAGAUACUUGAAGUAAUAAGAUAAUGAAACCGGAGUGUUCAUAAUUAUUUUUCGGGCCCUUCGAAACCUUUAAUUACAAUAUGUAUAUAUGUUAUGGUUAUAGUUUCACUAGUUAUUAAAUAAUAACUACACUAUACUUACGGGACAAGACUGACGGGAUCUUGAAGUCGCUUGGUUGUUGGUAUGAAGAAGAGGUGCACCUGGAGGAAGGUUAGAUUUAUCAUGAUGGGAGAGUGCAUCCGUUCCCUGUCAAAUAAUGAAAUUUGGAUGUUAAAAUAACCCUAUUAACGAAGACAAGAUACAUAGAAACUCCUAUAUUAAUUAGGAAGCUGUAAUGAUUGGCGGAUAACCUUUUUUCUCGGAUUUUAUUAUUAGCAACUCAAUACUAAAUUAAGGUGGUUCCCAACAUUAUUGAAUCCUUACUUCAAUAUCUUCACGUGCUAGUGAAGUGAAUUGAUGGUUGUUUUCACCCAGACGACUACUCUUUGGUACGGAAGAAUUUUUUUCAUGAAAAAUGGUGGCCGAAACCUAAAAUUGUAUUCAGAAGACGGAAAUAACCGGUUACAAAUAUAUGUUACUGGAAUAGUUUAUUAUUGUUAGUUAUAAAACGAUGAUUCUUACAUAGAUUUGUUUUGGUGAUCCGGGAGGGGUCGAAUAAUGAGAUUUGCAGACAUAUUUUGCAGAUAGAACUAAGAAAUGAGAUUUACUUUUACAGAGAGACAAUAUAUUGAAAUAUGAAUUGUAUUAAAUCUCUUUGGGUUUUUGCUGGAAAGAGAAAGAGUAUUUGAACAUUCUCGAUUCUUUGCAUUAUUAUCAUUUUAUCUCCCUGUGCAACAGUCUCUUUAAAUUCUUUGCAUUAAUAUUAUUUUUCUCUGUGCAACCGUCUGUUCAUCUGACGUCUAACAUGUUGUUUAAUUUACUUUUCUAAUAGUAACAGAGACACUUUGGUAUUACUUCAAAAUGUACAGUACCUUUACCACCUAUCUAAUUUACAUCUCUUUUUUUGCUAUCCAGUGCAAUUUCCUUUUAUUUUAAGUGCUGAAAUAAAAUAUUGUUUAAUUUAUAUUUACCAUUCUACAUAUUUUGUUUUCUACAUAUUUUGUUUGUUUGCUUUUUAAAGGGAUUCAUUUUUGUGAUUGUCAGAAAGUAAAUUAAAAGCUUCUUUCCGUUUUGGAACAAUUAAUUUGAUUGUUUGAUAAAAAAAAAACAAUUAAUUUGAUUUAAUUCUCGAAACAGAUGGAUCAAACUUUGAAACAUGUUGUCUUUUUUCCUUACUAGUUGACCAUUACCAAUUAUUUUUGUAUAGAUGUUUCAUUUAAGUGCCAAAACAACGCAUUUUUUAAUUUUUAUUUACCAUUUUACAUAUUUUGUUUGUUUGCUUUUUUAAGGGAUUUUUUUUUGACAAAAAAAGGAUUUUUUUGUUGUUGUGAUUGUCUAAAAGUAAAUAAAAAGCUUCCUUCCUUUCUUAUAUAUUAAAAAUAGUAUCCUUCUUUCUUCAAUCUUACAACCAUUUAAAACUAUGUACAACAUCAUCCUUUUCUUUGUCUUUGUAUUCGCAAAAUCUUGGAUAUAAACAAAACCAAACAUUCCUUUUCUUGUUUUGGUAUUAUAACUGAAUAUGCUACUUUAAUAUCGAUUGUGAUGCAAUGGAAUAGAAAAUCAACUGCCAAUCAAACUGUGAGAACAGUGUCGAAGAAAACAACAAAAUAAAUAUUAAAUAUAAAUAUUAAAAAAAUGUAAAUAUUAAAUAUUUUCCUCUUUUGGCUAAAGUUUAUAAGGAAAAGAGCAAUCUAGAGGAAGACAAAGUAACAUAGACUUCGAGAAAAUAGAAUGAGUUCGGGGCAUUAAAAAAUUAACCAUAUGACAAAAAGUUAAAUAAAGACUUCAUAUUUUGCAGUAAUUAACUUAAAUAUAGAAGGGAACGUUAGGGGAGAAGAGAAAAUCCCCUUGAAGUUCUACAAAAUUCGUGAGUUUCCCUAUGCUAAUGCUUUUGCUUUUCCCUUUUGUUUUCACUCUGCCUCCCCACAUGCAUCGUUGUAAAUAAAUAGUACUAGUAUAUACUAACACAUACUAUACACUAACACAUACUAGUCGCAUAUGCACUAGAGUAUGUAUGUGUAACGUAGACUCUUCAAGCUCUAUAUUAUAAAAAUCAAUUUAUACGUGUCGCGCUCACGUUAAUUCUCAAGAUAAUUAAUUAUGCUGAUAUCUUAACAAAAUUUAAAUUAUUGAAUAUUAUGGCGGACAAACUAACACAAAUUACUAGAAAUCUACCUUCUGCUAAAGGGACGAAACCAUAAAUGCUUUUAUAAUGGAUGCACAAACAUUAAAUAAAAUAUUAAACAAAACACUAAACAAAAUAUUUUAGAUAUAUAUUAAAAAAUAUUUUUUUAAUAAAAAAUAAAAUAAUCAUUUAAAAAUAACAUUUCAUUCGAUUUCGUAAAAUUGUUUUCACUAUUUUCAUUGUAGAGAAAUAUAUUUUAAUACUUAUCGUUGCAACUGGUAAAAUUAAAAUCAACUUAAAAAACCUAUACACCAAAAAUAAAAAUUAUUAGAUAAUAAACUAUUUUUUCAUUGUCAAGAUAAAUCUAAUUAAAACUGAAAACGUAACAUAGUUUAAACAUGCAAUUUAUCAAAAACAUGAUUAAUGAAACGUAAAUAAAUUACAAACUUGUAAAACCUGCAAAACCAUCAACUGUAGUCAAGAGUAAAGCCACUUCUAUGACUUUUGGAACUACUGAAUCAAAAUCUUAGAUGCUAUCUAAAUAAUUACUACUAGUAAAUAUUGUUUAGAACAACUCAAAGCAUUAACAUAGAGAUUAUUAAACUAGUUACCAGUUUUGUAUGGUAGACAAGAGAAUAAAACUUGUCAAUUUGAUUUGAUGGUUGCACUUGUGUGUUUAAGAAUAAAAGAUUAAAAGAUUAAUUUUUUGAGCGAACUGUUAGGAUUUUAACAACACAAAAUAGAGAAUACUAUUAGACUUUAAAGAUAAUUUUAAUUUUUGAUGGGGUAAAUUAUGUUUAGUUUUUUCAUUUGGGCUUAAUGUAAAUUUUAGUGGAUGCACUAUCAUGAAUUAUAGUGGGUGCAUAUUUAAAAUUCCUUAACAAUUACAUUAAUUUUUUAUAAAAAUUAUGGGUGCAUGUGCACCCUUUCUCUACUGAGUGGUUUCGCCCCUAUUCUGCUAUGGUUUAUGUUGAUUCAGUUCCCUUUAGAUGUCUUUUGGAUCAAAAAUCUGCUUAGUUUCGUUUUGACUUUUGUUGUAAAACAAAAAUUAAAAGUAUUAUGUACUUGUCAUUAUCAAUAUUUCUAUUUUUAGUUUUUAUUAAUAAAUUUUAUUUUAUUUUCCAAAAAAUAACAACAAAGGAAAAUUUCUAUAAAUCUUUCUAAACCUAUUUGAUUUUUUUUAGUCAUUAUUUUUUUUUCUCUUUUUUGACAGCAAACAUUUACAGAGUCUACGUGACUCUGUAAACCAAGGUGGUAAAUCUGCAUCUAUGUGCACGACAAAAGAUGGUUGUUGCCGAACAUUACGUGCCAAGCUAUCCGCCCUUUUGUUCUCCAUCCUAGGAACAUGAACGAUUUCUGAGUUGACAAAACUUUGUUGCAAAAGCUUAAUAUCUUCCAGGUAGCUUUCAAAUGCUGGUCAUUCCUCUAGUUCUGAAACCAUCUUCACCAGUUGAGAACAAUCCGUUGCAAACGUAACCUGAAACUGCAUUAAAUUUCGCAGACAUUCCAUUGCCCAAAUUAAUUUGUACUUUUUUUACUUGUUAUUCCCUUUUUAUAUUGGUUUCUAAAUCAUAUAUAUAUAAAAAAAUAUUUAUAAAAUUGUAAAACGUGGAUAUAUUUUAUAAAUAAUUUCAUUUCACAAAAAAAUAUAAGCAUGAUAUUUUAAAAACUAUAAGCAAUAUAAACGUGGAUAUAUUUUAUAUAUAUUUUAAAAAUAAUUUGAUUUCAAGUUUACCCCACAUUAUAAAUAUUUCUUUUGGAUGAUUUUUUUGUAACUGAAGUUUUGUAUUUUUCCUUUAUUUAUUUAUUCUUGUUUUAAAAAGAAACUAUAUUUUAAAGAAAUAACUAUAAAAAUUAAUAUAAUAUAUAUAAAUUCAUCUUAUAAUAAAGAAUAAUCCAAAAAAUAAGCUUGAUAAAAUAAAUAAUUUUCCCCUCAAAACAUAACUAAACAACAUAAUAGAUAUUAAAAUAAUUAAAAUAAUAAGAUAAUAUUAUUUAAAAUAAUCAAAUGCAACUAAAAAAUAAUUUAAAAUAUGACAUAAAUCAAUUACUACAUUUAAUUAAUUUUUAAAUAUUAGUAUCCAUGCAUGAGCACGGGAGAAUCAUCUAGUACAUACUUAUCUGAAAAAGUAGAUGUUCCGUAUGUGUUGGUAAUUUAUAUUUAAGAAUAUAUUUUUGGUGAUAUAGUGAAAAAAAAUAGUACUAGGAAAGUAUAUCAGGUCGUACGUUUGUCUUGAGCUUGCAAAACAAAAUAAACAAAAUAAAGUUUCAUGCUAGUUUUUAUUCUUCUUGAACUUGAAUAGUGCUUCUUGCUGUUCCUAUACUCUUAGUACAAUUUAUGCAACUGUUAUAUGGUUCACCAUAGCUAUAAGGUUGUAAUUGUUUUGGUAACUCGAUGUGUUAGAAAAUCUUAUUUGUUUUCUGGUUAUAUAGACCAAAUUUAGUCCAAUGCACAGUAAAGGCAGUAGAACAAAACACCCGGCUUGGGUUUCAAAUUUGGGAAAAUUGAAUAAAUAGGACACUUUGAAUUUUUAUUUGUCAAACUAGGAUUUUUUGGGUAAUUCUAGACAUAGUUUACCUUUCUUUUAUAGAAAAAAUAGUAAACUGAAUUUUAAAAAUUUUAAAAUAUGAAAACUAUUGGAAACAUAAGUAUGACAAUAUAUAUGUUUAAAAGUUUUUUUUAAGUGGAAUUAUAUUUUAUUUUAUCUUCUAGCUACAGUUAGAAUACUCAUUCUGGUCAUCUACUUAGUCUAGAAAUCGGAUACUAAGUUUUAUACAUAGAUAUAUCCUGGGUAUACAACGUAAAUUAGCCUUUCUUAUAUAUUCUAAUUAAGAAAGAUGUCUUUAGUAUACAUACAGCUUGAUAACGACAUAUAGCCACAACGCAGUGAUAUACCUUAUCUAUAUUUUGUGCCAUAACAUGUUCUGCCUUUUACCUUAUGUGGCGCUUAAAGAAGAAUAUGUUUCUCAUAUACUCUACUGUGUUCAGCGUAAGCUAGGAUAUAUAUUCUAGGGAAAUCCGGAAAAUAUGAAAGCUUCCAUAUUCGGUUAAAGAUGUUUCAUAAAUCUAAACUAAAUCUUCCCUAAUUAUCUCAUAGAAUAUUUUCUCCCACGUUUUUCUCCUUCUCCCAUGAUCUUUUCUCUUCGUUCUUUGUAUUUCUCUCUUCUUCAUCGACAUAAUCAUCUCUUUUCUCUAUCAAUACAACAUGAUUCUAAUUUAUGUUAAAUCUGGUGAAUGGAUGUCUCGUUGCAGUGAAGAGUGGACUUUCGUGGUAGACAAAGAAAAGCGGGGUCGAAUGGUAACAUUAGAAACUACUACUUCAUUGGAGAAGCUUAAGAUGAUGGUAUAUGAGGAUUAUGGGGUGGACCAUAAUGUUGUUAAUGUCGAGUUCAGUUAUUCAUUGUUGAACUCUCCAACAGGCUAGUCAUUAACAGUCAGAGGUUAAAACUCACAUGGGGAAGAUCUCACAUCCCAAAACAUGGUCAGUAUGGCUGGAAGUACCAACAAGGCAGUGUGGCUCAGAGUGUCUUACUAACUCCACCAAUGCAGCAGCAAUAUUAUAUGCACCCAGCACCACCUAACCAGGACAAACUUUAUUACCCAUCAAUGGAUCCGCAGAGAAUGGGUGGUUCAAGCAGCAGUGAGAACAACAUAGCUUACAUGAUGCCUCCACGACAGCCAUAACACUCCACCAUAUUGACAAAAUAUAUGUUGUUGAUCAUACUUAAAUAUGUAUUUUUUUUUUUGUGUUGAGAAAAAGAAAUUAGGGAAAACAGCUUGCGUUUUUUACCUCUUUGGAUUUUUUUUUUCUGUUUUUACUUUUUUUUUCUUUUAUAAAAACUUAAAUCAAUUACGCAAUAUUAAAAUUAAUUUGGUGAAUUGAAAGGUAUAAUGGUAUUAAAUAGAAUAUAAAUCUUAUUUAUUUAAAUAAUCAUCUACAAAUCUUAUUGGGACAAACUUAAGAUAAAAGUGUCAACAUGGACACUAUUUACAUAUAUGUAUCAUUUGAACCCAUAUGUAUCCUGGGUAUACAACGUAAAUUAGCAUUUCUUAUAUAUUCUAACGCAGCUAUAUUUCGAAAUGUUAUAAUCAAGAAGGAUGUCUUUAGUAUACAUACAGCUUGAUAACGACAUAUAGCCACAACGCAGUGAUAUACCUUAUCUAUAUUUUGUGCCAUAACAUGUUCUGCCUUUUACCUUAUGUGGCGCUUAAAGAAGAAUAUGUUUCUCAUAUACUCUACUGUGUUCAGCGUAAGCUAGGAUAUAUAUUCUAGGGAAAUCCGGAAAAUAUGGAAGCUUCCAUAUUCGGUUAAAGAUGUUUCAUAAAUUUAAACUAAAUCUUUCCUAAUUAUCUCAUAGAAUAUUUUCUCCCACGUUUUUCUCCUUCUUCCAUGAUCUUUUCUCUUCGUUCUUUGUAUUUCUCUCUUCUUCAUCGACAUAAUCAUCUCUUUUCUGUAUCAAUACAAUAUGAUUCUAAUUUAUGUUAAAUAUAGUGAAUGGAUGUCUAGUUGCAGUGAAGAGUGGACUUUCGUGGUAGACAAAGAAAAGCGGGGUCAAAUGGUAACAUUAGAAACUACUACUUCAUUGGAGAAGCUUAAGAUGAUGGUGUAUGAAGAUUAUGGGAUGGACCAUAAUGUUGUUAAUGUCGAGUUUAGUUAUUCAUUGUUGAACUCUCCAACAGGCUAGUCAUUAACAGUCAGAGGCUAAAACUCACAUGGGGAAGAUCUCACAUCCCAAAACAUGGUCAGUAUGGCUGGAAGUACCAACAAGGCAGUGUGGCUCAGAGUGUCUUACUAACUCCACCAAUGCAGCAGCAAUAUUAUAUGCACCCAGCACCACCUAACCAGGACAAACCUUAUUACCCAUCAAUGGAUCCGCAGAGAAUGGGUGGUUCAAGCAGCAGUGAGAACAACAUAGCUUACAUGAUGCCUCCACGACAGCCAUAACACUCCACCAUAUUGACAAAAUAUAUGUUGUUGAUCAUACUUAAAUAUGUAUUUUUUUUUUUGUGUUGAGAAAAAGGAAUUAGGGAAAACGACUUGCGUUUUUUACCUCUUUGGAUUUUUUUUUCUGUUUUUACUUUUUUUUUCUUUUAUAAAACUUAAAUCAAUUAUGCAAUAUUAAAAUUAAUUUGGUUAAUUGAAGGGUAUAAUGGUAUUAAAGAGAAUAUAAAUCUUAUUUAUUUAAAUAAUCAUGUACAAGUCUUAUUGGGACAAACUUAAGAUAAAAGUGUCUUUUUUUCCAAUUUUCCCUUCAAAUUUUGUAUGCAUGAAUUAUUUGGUUCUCAAACUAUCCAAAAGAAAUAAGAUUACUCAAUCUUAAACUGUAAUUAUUUCAAUUAACAUAAAUUUCAAAAUCUAUUUUCUACAUAUCUGUAUUUUACUAUUUACAUUUUUGCAUGGAUCAUUAUAUAUGUAUCAUUUGAACCCAUAAUUUUAUUUAGUUUCAGUGUAGAAUAAUUGUUUCAUAUAUUUACCAUUAAUCUAACCCCCUCUCCCCCCCCCUCCCCCCCCCCUCCCCCCCCCAAAGAAAAACUAUCCAAAAGAAAUUAGAUUACUCAAUCUUAAACUGUAAUUAUUUCAAUUCACAUAAAUUUCAAAAUCGAUUUCUACAUAGCUGUAUUUUACUAUUUAAAUUUUUGCAAUUAUUUCAAUUCACAUAAAUUUCAAAAUCAAUUUCUACAUAGCUGUAUUUUACUAUGUACAUUUUUGCAUGGAUCAUUAUAUAUGUAUCAUUUGAACCCAUAAUUUUAUUUAGUUUCAAUGUAGAAUAAUUGUUUAUAUUUACCAUUAAAGUAAGCCCAAUUGUUCUAUGUACGAGUUUGAGACCAACGUCGUUUACCCGCAUGUAGAAUUAACAAUUUUGCACUAAAGAAAAUCAAUCCUUGACCUAGACCGAGAUCACUACGAUGUGGUUAUUAACAAUUGUUCUUUCGUGUAUACUUUUAGUACUUGGUUCUGGCAUAUGAUAUAUAUUGAUUGAAUUUUGAAUUUUUGAGCAUUGAUUAAAUGCAGUUAAUAACUGCAAACAUGUAAUAAGAUGUCUUAUGAUUUCGUUUUCUUUUUUAUCAUUAACUUGGGAAUAUUACGGAUUAACGAAAGGGUCAAGACUAAUUUUCAAAUGGAGAUACAGUCUACAGAUGAACACUCUUUCUAAAUAUUCAAAUGGGAUUUAAUCAAUGGAUCCAUAUCUGCAUAACUACAUGUAGAAUUAACAAUUUUGCCGUGAAGAAGAAUUGUUCCAUGGUCUAGACCAAUAGGAUAACUUCUCGGGCAGUGGAAACCAUAAACUACCACAACGUGGUUCAUUAUAGAUUUUGUUUUGAUGCAUAUACCUAAAAUCUAAUUCUGUUUGUAUUUUAUUAGAGAAAAAGUGAAGUGAAGCAAAGAUAAUGUAAGGAAAGAGACGAGGGAGAAUAAAGUAAGAUUGGAAAUGUGAACCCAUUUGGAGUUGGCAGUGAGUGAGAUGGAACAUCACAUGCACUGAUGCUCUCUUUUGUCCCUUUCCUCCUGGAGCUUUCAUUUCUCGAAACCCUUCUUCUCAUUUGUUUCCUUGUCACUCUAAUCUUACCCCACUUAUUUAAUUCUUAAAGGUUCUGUAUUUUAUUUUCUCAUGCUAUUCAUGACUUAGUAAUGAUGUGAUAAUUUGAUCUACUACGCUUAAAGUCUCAAUUGUGGCAAUUAUGUUUGGACAUAGUGGCAAUUUCAGAAAAUUCUGCAUGAUUGUUUCCAUUAAUAUCGUAGUCACCCAAACCGACGUGAAUUAAUAUGUAUGAAAAAAACUUGUAUGAUAUCUCCCUUUGAGUGUGGAAACUUACACAUUUUGAUUUUUUUAAACUAUAUUUAUCUCUAUAUGUUCUCCAACGUUUUUUUUAAUGUUAAGUAUAUCUUCUCCAACUUACAUAUUGUUAUAUCAUUGAAUGUAUCAAUUAUCUCUAACAUUCUCCACCUUACUAAAAUAUUAUAAGCAGUCUAUUGAAUUAUUACUAACAUGUCAAAAGGUGCAACUAGUACUAUUAUAGGGGGAGAGUAUCAUAUAAUAUUCAAACCGACGCGUAUAAACUAAAGUGAGUUUGGAUGAUAUAUGCGUAUAUAAUAUGGUUGUUGGAAUGUGCAUAAAAUUAUACUAAUAAAGAAGAGUUGGAAGUGGGAUUACUAAGGUGAUGUGGGUCUAGGGAUUCACUCCAAUUCCACAUUAUGCAAAGGAAUGUCACUUACCGUGAUAUGUGCUGUUCCUCGAUCUCUCUGAAAGAUUCACCUGUUACAUUCUCCUUUAUUGUCUCUAUCUUUUUCUUCUUGCAUUUUCAAUAUAUAUACUUUAAUUUUAUGUAAGUUAAUCGAUUAGAAGUCUAGAUUGUCUAGUUGACCCGUCUUGUUUAGAUAAAAUUAGGGCUUGGCACAAGACAACAUUUCCAUAAACAGUAAAUAUAUACCAUUUGCUUUGGUUCGUGCAAAUAUUUAAGGAAAACAUGGUCAAAUAUUUGUUCUUUUUUCAACUAUUUUUUCAUGCUUUUAUACCAUACCUUUUUUUAAUACCAUACUUGAGAUUCAAUUCUCAGAAGAUGCACAUUUUUCAAAUUAUACGUUGAACAAUUUAUCAAAAAAUUUUAAAGUCUUACUAGUAGAUUUUUCAUUGUGGUCGUGUGCUACCAGAAAAAUUUAUUCGUCGAAAAUGUCAUACAUACAAAAUUUCUGUCAGUCCAAGUGUUACAAAGAACUAUGUCUUGAAAUUGUUAUUGGUGAUAUUGUUCAUCAAUAAAUUAUUUUUUUGCAUGUAGUUAAUAAUCAUAUGUAAUAGAAAUAUAAAUUAUAUGAUGAUAUAAUUGACAAUUCGAUCAGUGUUAAAAGUUAUAUUUUAUUAAAUUGAUGCACACACCGUUUUCACAACACUAUUCAUAUUUUAAUUGCAUAAAUAUAUCUUUAAUGGUAUAUAACGGUAAUUUAUAAAUAAUUGUACAACUUUUUAUUAUUUGUACUAGUUUAACCAGUUUAAUAUGUAUAUAGCAUACUAGUUAGGAUAAUUAUAAUUUCAGUUGUAUUUUGGUUUAUAUAAGCCAAACUAUUUAUAUUUGAUUUUAUUAGCUAUAAUAUGUAGUUGUGGUUAUAUUUGAUUGUACUUGUCAAACUAACUUUUAUUUGAUUAUAUUUGUUGUAUUCAGUUUUUUUGGGUUUCAUUGUUGUGUUCAGUUGUACUCGAUUAUAUCAGUUUUCUUUGAUUCAUUGCAUUGCAUAUAUGGGGUUACCAUCGUCUAGCUUUUCACAAUUUUGCAUAAUUAUUUGAUGUGAUAUUCGCCUAUAAAAAAUAAGUACAAAAAGAUGAGAAGAGAUGAAAACAACAAAUAAAGGACGAAAGAAAAAUACUGAUACAGUUGAUCCAACGUCUAAAUUUAAUAAGAUUUUCAUUCGCGAUUUAUAAGUGCAUAACUAUAUUAUUUACAAAAUUUAAUUUAAAAAUAAAAUUUUUAUUUUUAUUUGUAUAUCAUUAUGAUUAAAGUGAUAAAAAUAUUCAUAAUCUAAACUUAUAAAGUUUAAAAUUGGAAUACGCUUAGUUAGUUUGGAUAUUACAUUUAUAUUAAUUAGUUUUCAAAACUAAAUAAAAUUAUUUUUGCACCUAUUUUAUAAUGUUAAUAUUAUAGAAUUAUUUUUUUCGUUUUAAAAAAUAAAACUGAAAUAAGAUUUGUGAUAUUUUUAAUAGUAACUAAGAAUUUAAAUAGUUAUUUAAAUAAUAACAAUUUAAAGGUUUUCUAAAAUUUUGUUAUAGUAAACAAGAAAAUAAAUAAUUAUUCAAAAUAUCAUUUAAUCAUAAAAUGAUAUCAUGUGUAAUGACAUAUUGUAUUGGAAUUUUUAAUUUGUAAAAUAAUAACCAAAUGAUCUAUAAUGAAAUCUCUAGUCAGGAAUUCCAUGGCGAUGAAACGGGAGAUCUAGGGUUCUAUGAUUUUGCGAAGAUGGGAGCCGGGGAUUGGAGUAGGAGUUUGGUUCGGUUUGUUCGGGCAUGAUCAAGAUCUAGAUAUGGCAUAUCAUGACGGUAUCUCGGGUCGAUUGAGAAUCGACUUAGGUUUCAGAAAGGGGAUCUGCGGAAUUUUAAGGAAAGUAAAGAUUUGGAUCGAGGGACAAUGGAUCUCGAUUAUCAUUACGAUGGAGUCAUCAGUCAACACAGGGUGGAUAAUGGUUUGCGAUUCUUUAGUCUCCUGCUCUUAUUUAAUUAGGAGUGAUCUCUAUUAUCAAUGGUUGAUUUGGGUUUUACGGUGUUUUGAGAAAGUAAGAUUGGCUGAGAUCAAUUUACAGGGAUACGGGAUCGUGGGAUUUUAUUAUAGGAAUAAGAAAAUGGAAAAUUGGAAACGAUAUAAGAAGAUGACAGGAACCUUUCUUUGGGAUAUCAUUCCUCUUUCAUCUUCUUAUAUCAAAGAUCUUAAGUCGAUUACUUGUGGUGUUAUCAGGAUGCAGAGUAACUUGUUGAGCCACGGUGAGGAGCAGAAGAACGGUGAGGGUAAGCGUAAGAGAUUGAAAAUCUCCUUGGCGCAUUUUGACAACUCUGCUCUCAUCAGGACCUAUUCCAAAACCCUGAUUGGAAGGUGUAUGAACCCCGUGGAGCAACAGAUGAGUGCAUUGUUCACAAAUCUACCAAAGAUUUGGAAAUUGGAGGAAAGGGUUACGGGCAGUGACUUGGGCUUUGGCAAGUUCCAGUUCGACUUCAAGACGGAGGAGGAACUUGAAGCGGUGUUGAGGCAGCAGCCUUUUCAUUUUGACUACUGGAUGCUGGCAUUGGCGAGGUGGCAACCAAAGCAACUCAAGGAUUUUCCUUCAGAGAUCCCAUUUUGGAUCAGAGUUGUUGGUCUCCCGCUUGAAUUUAGGACCGUUCCUACAUUAGAGAGCAUUGGUGGAGCUUUGGGGAGAGUGUUGGAUGUAGAUGUGACCCAAAACCGAGUUCAAGUUGUGGUCGACGCUUUCAAAGAACUAUGCUUUGAAACGACUAUAGAUUUCAAAGGUGGAGAAUUUUACGAGGAGGAGGAAGUGGCAGUAUCUCUGCGCUACGAGAAGCUCUUCGGUUUUUGCGAACUCUGUGGGAGUCUAUGUCACAAGGAGGAGCUAUGUCCUCUUGAUGAGAAGAACACAAAGGCGGGCUCAGAAAGAAGGAGGGAGAACAGAGAAGGGAAUGGGGGAUGGACUGAUGGUGCAAAACAUGAGGAGCGAGCUCGUAGCUACAAGGGUGUGGUCAUUAAUGGUAACAAGGGCCAACAGAACAGAGACAGAGACCGUAGGGAGUUUCAUGGGAAGGGUAAGGGUAAAAUGAUGGAGGCACCAGACUCUAAGUGGGUUAAGGUUCCAGAGCGAGGCAACAGGGGACCUUCUCAUCAUUAUGGAAACCACAGAGGUAACGGGGAGGGUUCAAGGGUCAAAACUACAUAUAGAGAAGAUGUUUCAGUGGUGGGCUCUGGAGCUCAAGUGAUGACGUCUAGGACAUAUCCAACGCAACCAAGAGAGGACCAGGGGCAGCAAACUGUACCUCAGGUAACAAGUGAAGAGGGCGAGAUUACGCGAAAUGGGGAUGCUACUGCAGCUCUACCGUCUGUAGAGUUUCAAAUGGAACUAUCUAAGACGCAGGCGGAAGGGUCGGAGGUGGUAGCGGAGGCUAGGGAGGAGGAGAGGGGUCUACUUACAGUGCAAGGAAUGAGGGAGCAACAAGAUGAUACGUUUGAAGAUAUUGAGAUGGAACUGGAUGCUAUUAAUGUAGCUAUGUUGGAGAGUGGCAUCGACUUGGAGACAGAGGAAGAGUUUCAAACUCUUUCUGAAGAGGAGCUUGAGCAAGCUUCUGAGGCUCAGGCAGAGAAUGUUCUCAUUCAGGAUGAGGAACAACCGGUGGCUGGUGAUGCGUACAUCACUAAGGAGUUGGGGACAGGGGAAUUGGCGACGAGACAGAGUCACCGUAAGAGGUUAUUCAAGGCCAACAGCAGCAUUGCGGGUAGUUCUAAAAUGAGAAUGGCGUCGGCGCUUCUCUCACCAAGGAAGAAAGGUGUAGCUAAGGUUGGGACUCGUCAUGGAGACAAUACCAAACCACCGGAGAACAAGGGACCUUCAAUCCCGAAGCCGGUUAACUUAAAAUUUUAAGUUUAUGGAUCAAACCUCAUUUAUAAUGAGAGUACGAAUAAAGGAUUUGGUUUAUGGGGGUGGUGCUUUUAUUAUUUCAACAAAUUUCCUUUUACUUGAAGUUUUAUUUGGUUUCAUGGGUCUGGGGGUAGUAAUCAUUGUCAUGCUCCUUUUGUUUUUUAUUAAGAAGUGGAAUAAGAUUGGUCUUUUGUGUUCAUGGUGUUCUACUCAUAAAUAUGUUUUGUUUAUAUAUUGCGAUGAGGUUGUGUGGAGGACGAUUUGGAAAUGUGGAAGUUUUAGGUGUUAUAUUGUUGAUUACUCUCUUUCUGUCUCGAGGUCUCUCGAUGACAUGGAACUUGUUCGACUUGAAUGGGGAGUAUCCUAUGGGAACAGAGGUUGGUGGAUUAACGGAGGAUGGUGGAUCCAUGGGUUGGUCUUGAGAUGGUUAUUAUGUUUGUUUAUAUUAUUUAAUAGGCAGGGUCUAGGAAAUAUGAUGCACUUCUGGGGGGAGCUAAAAAGCAUAAGGAGCCUGUGGCUUCGAGGUGUAAUUAGGAAUGCAGAAAACCUUUCACGGCUUCGUUGGUGUGGUGUCAUUUGGGGAUUAUUAAAUCAUAUGAUAAUUGAGAUUAACUGUCAAGCAUAUUUAGUGAUCAAACAGAUUGUAUUUGAUUAUGCGUGUGUUCUGCAAGUUAUUUUUUAUUUGGUAGAUACUAUUUGGUCUAGGAGGAAUAUUUGGAAAUUUGGAAGUGGAGGGGUAGGUUCAAAUUUUAUACUUAUUCGGGAUAUUUGGAAUGUGAGGUUAAAAGGUUUUUUGAUCUCCUUACGGGAAAUAAAUAAAUGUAAAAUGUUGAUGCGACCUUGUCCAAUAUAUAAAUUAGCAGGAACAAUUUUGGCUGUCUCAGUUCUGAAUUUGAAUAUUAAUUUCUCUAGUAUAUUCGUUGGACGACUACACGGUUGUAGUGUGAAAUGCAAGUAUGGGAAUAAGAGGUCCAAAUGGUUUGUUCGGGAAUCGAUGGGGAUGGAAGCUUGGUAUAGCUACAUUGGGACCAUAGAAGGGCUGGGUAUCUUUAAAUCCCAUAUCUUCGGCUCGAGAGAGCAAUACAAGGUGUUUUAUAUAUAUGAAAAUAUUAAGCUGGAAUUGUAGAGGACUUGGGAGUCAUUGGACCAUAAGUUAUCUUCGGGAGACAUGGCAUAAACACAAACCAGAUUUUUUAUUCUUAGCUGAAACGAAACAGGAUUUUGAGUUUGUCCAGUGGUUUCAACCACACUUUGGAUAUGAUAGUUUGACUACUGUGGAUCCAAAUGGGAGAAGUGGUGGUUUAGCUCUUUUUUAUAAUAAUGAGUAUCAGGUGAAGAUUCUAUAUUCUAGUAAUAGAAUGAUAGAUAUUGAGGCGGUGGUCAAAGGAAAACAAGUUUUUCUUACUUUUGUUUAUGGGGAUCCGGUGCAAAAGCUAAGAGAACAAGUAUGGGAGAGACUAACUCGAUUUGGAUUGGCACGUUCGGAACCUUGGUUUAUUAUUGGAGACCUAAAUGAAAUUACUGGGAAUCAUGAAAAGGAUGGAGGCUCUCUACGUUGUACAACUUCAUUCAUCCCCUUCAAUAAUAUGAUAAGAAAUAGUGGUUUAUUAGAAUUUCCGGCUAGAGGAAAUACACUCUCUUGGCAAGGAAGAAGGGGCAAAGGGAAAGGAGCAGUGACAGUCAGAUGUCGCUUGGAUCGGGCUUUGGCAAAUGAGGAAUGGCACACGCUCUUUCCAUGUUCUUAUACAGAGUAUCUAAAAAUGGUGGGGUCUGAUCAUCGGCCAGUGGUGGCUUUUUUGGAGGAUAAUGUUACAAGGAAAAAAAAGGGGCAAUUUAGAUUUGACAAAAGAUGGAUUGGUCAGGAGGGUCUCAUGGAGUCGAUUACAGCAGGCUGGGCGGAGAGUCAGGAAGGACAAUUAGGAGAUCUUGCUACAAAAAUUAAAAAUUGUCGUCAUGAAAUAUCUUCAUGGCGUAAGAAUAAUCAACCAUAUGGAAAGGAUAAAAUACAGGAGCUACAAAGGGCACUGGAGGAAGUUCAAAUGGAUAAUAAUAGGUCACAAGAAGAGAUUAUUGAGGUUUCUAGGAAACUACAGGAGGCUUAUAAGGAUGAGGAGGAAUAUUGGCAUCAGAAAAGUAGGAAUAUGUGGUACUCAUCUGGCGAUCUGAAUACUAAAUUUUAUCAUGCUUUGACGAAGCAGCGUAGGGUUCGUAACAAAAUAGUGGGUCUCCAUGAUGAAGCAGGUAAUUGGAUAACGGAUGAGAAAGGAGUUGAGAAGGUGGCAGUUGAUUAUUUUGAGAGUCUGUUCACGACCACGGAUCCAACGGAAUUUGAUAGUUUUUUGGAGGAGAUAACACCAUCUAUUUCUCCCUAAAUGAAUCAAAUAUUACUGAGAAUGGCAACGGAGGAAGAGGUCCGACAAGCUUUAUUCAUGAUGCAUCCGGAGAAAGCGCCAGGACCGGAUGGGAUGACAGCUCUUUUCUUCCAACACUCCUGGCAUAUAAUUAAGAGGGAUGUGGUUGAGAUGGUGAAUAAAUUUCUUCUCACAGGGAAUAUGGAUCCACGUUUAAACAUUACUAAUAUAUGUAUGAUUCCUAAAGUAGAGAGACCCACAAGGGUGACGGAAUUAAGGCCGAUAAGUCUUUGUAAUGUUGGUUACAAGAUUAUCUCGAAGGUUUUGUGUCAAAGAUUGAAAAUUUGCCUACCAAGGCUAAUUUCGGAGACACAAUCGGCAUUUGUGGCGGGCAGGUUAAUAUCGGAUAAUAUUCUUAUAGCGCAGGAAAUGUUUCAUGGACUGAGGACAAAUAAGUCAUGUCAGAAUAAAUUUAUGGCAAUCAAAACGGAUAUGAUAGGAUUGAGUGGAAAUUUAUCGUGGCACUUCUUCACAAAAUGGGGUUUGAUCCUCGUUGGACUAAUUUGAUGAUGGAAUGUAUUUCUUCGGUUCAAUAUAGGGUUCUUAUCAAUGGUCAACCACAAGGACUUAUUUUUCCUCAACGAGGCUUACGGCAGGGGGAUCCUCUCUCUCCGUAUUUAUUUAUUAUGUGCACUGAGGCAUUAAUCGCGAAUAUUAAGAGGGCGGAGAGAGAGAAACAACUUACUGGUUUAAAGGUGGCAAGAGCGUGUCCAGCAAUCUCUCAUUUGCUAUUUGCCGAUGAUAGUCUUUUCUUUUGCAAGGCAAAUAAGGAGGAAUGUCAAAUCAUUCUUAGGAUUUUAAAGGAAUAUGAGGCUGUCUCGGGGCAACAAAUAAAUUUUCAGAAAUCUUCAAUUCAAUUUGGGCAUAAGAUCGAAGAACCAAAUCGUCAAGAAUUGAGAGAUGUUUUAGGAAUUCAAAAUAUAGGAGGUAUGGGAUCCUAUUUAGGCUUGCCAGAAAGUCUAGGAGGAUCUAAGGUACAAGUAUUUGGUUUUGUUCAGGAACGGUUGAAUAAUAGAGUUAAUGGAUGGACCUUUCGAUUUUUUACUAAAGGAGGAAAAGAGGUAAUUAUUAAAUCGGUAGUUACGGCCCUGCCCAACCAUGUAAUAUCUGUUUAUCGAUUACCGAAGGCUACUGUUAAAAAAUUAACAAGUGCAGUUGCUCAGUUUUGGUGGAGUCCAGGAGGAAGUUCUAAAGGUAUGCAUUGGAAAUCAUGGGAUAAAUUAUGUGAAACCAAAGAAAAUGGUGGGUUAGGUUUCAAGGAUCUUUUGGAUUUUAAUACGGCAAUGCUUGGAAAGCAAUUAUGGAGACUGAUUGAGAAGCCAAAUACCCUUUUCUCAAGAGUCUUCAAAGGACGGUAUUACAGGAAUGCUUCACCCCUGGAACCGAUUCGUUCCUCUUCUCCGUCAUAUGGCUGGAGGAGUAUUAUUUCUGCUAGAUCUCUGGUUUGUAAAGGACUAAUUAAAAGGGUGGGAACAGGUUCGUCUAUCUCUGUAUGGAAUGAUCCUUGGAUCCCAGCCACUCGCCCGAGACCAGCAAACAAAAAUUUUCCCAACUUUUAUCCGGACCUCACAGUGGAUUCCCUCAUUAAUUCGGAAUCUCGCUCAUGGAAUUUACAGGCAAUCAGGACUCUAGUGGAUCCUACGGAUGCAAAAAUUAUUGAAAGUAUUCCUUUAAGUAGGAACCAGUUUGAGGAUAGGAAUGGAUGGCAUUUUACUACUAAUGGAAAAUAUUCAGUCCGAUCAGGUUAUCAAGUGGAACGAGUCUAUCCUGAUAAGGAAAAACCACCAGAUUUUUAUGGCCCUACAGUGGAUAUACUUAAAGCUUUCUGUUGGAAAGUUCGGUGCCCCCCAAAAAUAAGAUAUUUUUUAUGGCAACUUCUCUCGGGAUGUAUAUCGGUAAUGAAAAAUCUCAAGGCAAGAGGGAUACAACGAGAUAUAUGUUGUGCUCGAUGCGGAGAUCCGGAAGAAUCAAUUAACCAUGUAUUUUUUGAAUGUCCGCCGGCACGCCAAGUGUGGGCAUUAUCCAAGAUUCCGUCGUCUCCUAAUAUCUUUUCUAUCACCUCAUUAUUUGCUAAUAUGGAUCAUCUUUUUUGGAGAGUUCAGCCAAAGAUGGAUGACCAUCAGUUUGCAUGGAUUUUAUGGUAUAUUUGGAAAGCCCGAAAUAACAAAGUUUUUAGUAAUCUGGAUAUUGAUCCGAGGGAUACUCUUCAAUUAGCUGAAUUAGAAUCAUCACUUUGGGCAGAAGCACAGGUGGGAAAUGAUCCUACGAGGGAGCCUUCGGUACAGACCAGUUCCUCCCUAGCAACACAAGGUCGAUGGUGUUUCAUAGAUGGUUCAUGGAAAGAUAAAGAUUCUUUUUCAGGGCAAGGUUGGUAUAGUACUUUACAGGGGUUUGAUGGUCUGUUAGGGGCAAGGAAUGUAAGGGCAUGUCUUUCACCCCUCCAUUCGGAGGUAGAGGCUUUGAUUUGGGCAAUGGAAUGUAUGAAGAAUUUAAGACAGUUAUAGGUAACGUUUGCGACGGAUUAUUCUCAAUUGGUGAAGAUGGUUUCAGAACCAGAAGAAUGGCCAGCAUUCAAAAGCUAUUUGGAAGAUAUCAAACUUCUCAAAAGAAGUUUCCUCAACUCAGACAUCGUUCAUGUUCCUCGGACGGCGAACCUUCGGGCGGAUAGCUUAGCACGCAAUGCUAGGAAACAAUCGUCCUUUGUCGUUCACAUGGAUGCGGAGUUACCAACUUGGUUUACAGAGUCAACAUGAGUCUGUAAAUUCUUUGCUGUCAAAAAAAAAAAAAAAAAAAAAUCUCUAGUCAGGUUUCAAAAAUUAGUGACAUUUAAGUAAAUCUCUAGUCAAACUAAAACGGAGUCAAUGUUAUGUUGAAUUUAUCUUUAUUUAAGUUAUGUCAAACACUUAAUCUAAUGAUUUCAAUGUCAUUUUAAUGAUAGUGCUUCUAUAUUUUAUUUUCUACCAAAUUAUAUAUGACAGUCUGAAUACUACAUAUCAACAUGCAUGAAUGAUUUAUUGCAUACAUAUAUGAUAUGUUAACUUAAGAUCAUGAAGUCGAUCAUCAAGAAUCAUAUGAAUUUAAACAUCAAUCAAAGAAUUAUAUUAGUGUCAUGUCCACCUAGUAGUAUCACAUAAAUGCAACUUUAUUUUCAUAUGAUGAUUCUAUUUUAAUAAGAUGGAUAAAAUAAAUUGGAUAAUAUUCAUAUAAUUACUUUUCAUGAUUAGUACAUAUAAAUGGUCAUAUGCUGUUGUUAUUGUGGUUGAAUCACUAUCCAUAAAGAAAAGUAAAAAGUAUUUACUUGUAAAAUAAUUAGACAUUUUAUUUUAUUUUUAGCAACACAUUUUAAUUUUGUGUGAACAUUAUAUAUUAUUCCAUAUACUUCCUUAAGAUGAAAUGUAUCUUAGGGGUUAAAAAAGCUAAUUGGAUUCUUUUUCCUUGUUAUUGAUUUAUGGUGAGAAGCUCAAGAACCAUAGGCAACAUCGAGAGAAAGAGGUCCUAUCCAUCAUCAGAGAGAAUCUCAUAUCGAUCUCCAACGUCUUCAUAUUGGUGAGUCAACGUCGUUUUCAACUAUCAUCAGUUGUUCUUUCGAACAAUAGUUUUUAGGUAUCAAGUGAAGCAUCUCUUUGGGGCCUUUCACUCUUUAAACACAUAUAUCUCUCUUUUCAUUGUUAUAGUUCUUGUUUGUCAGGUUACCGUUGAAUUUAUAUCCGGUUGUACUCAUUUAAACUGUUUCGGUCUCUAGAUUAAUAUAAUCAUUUCAUGGACAAAAACAAAUUUAUGGUGAUUCAGACUAAAGUGCUAGCUCGGCUAUCUCAGAUGUGUAAGCUUAUUGUGUACCAUCACCAAAAUUGCAAAGCCAAUUGAGCCAACAUAAACAUAUAGAUCUAUUAAGUGUGAAUUUAAUCAUGGACAAACUAGAUAAGAAAUUUAGUUUAUUAAAAGUAAUUCGGAUUCUAUUACAAGAAAAUGAAAUUGGGGAGUAUUUAGAUAAGAAAUUUAGUUUAAUAUAAGUAAUUCAGGUUCGAUUACAGGAAAUCUCUUACUUAUUAAUAGACAAACAUUUUAAUAAAGCAACUUUAAUUUUGUAGUCUAUUCACAAGUUUGCCAUUUAACUGAUGUGUCAUCACCACAUCUCUUCUCAACUCAUCAUUAAAAUGAUCCUAUAAUUACUAGACAUAUUACAUAAAUUGACAUUGGUAUCACUCUAAUACAUAUUAUAAUUUUAUACAAUAAUACCAUUUGAAGUAUUACCUAAAUGGAAAUAACUAAAACGUGACCUCUCAUCAUUUUCUUUCAAGUUUCUAAUAUCAACAUUAACCAACAUCAUCAAUUGCAAAAAAAAAAAAGAAAAAGUUUUGUAUUUAGAAGAAUCUAUGACAUUUGCUUAAUAACAAAUCUGUUGCUUAGCUAUACCUAAACAAAAUUCAAUUAGAACUAAGAAACAAUUUUCAAUAUUUUUCAGAAGGACAUGCUUCCUCUGAUGUGUCACUAUACCAUCAAGGUACGUGAUGUUUCUGAUGUUUCAAAAUUUUGAACAGACAAAUUCUGCAUAUAUAUAUAUGUCAUAUUUAUCUGAAACUCUAUACAUAUCUUAUAGUUUAACGGGACAAUAAUAUGAUAAACGGUUAAAACUAUACUGCAAAGAAAGUGAUAUGGGCAGGCCUCCGUAAAUUUAAGUUUCGUGAUGUACAACAAAAUUUUAGCAAAUUAGCGCUAUGCAAAUUUAAGUUUCUAUAAUUUUAAAUAUAUUUUGACCUUAUAAAACCAUAUAAUUUAUUGUCUGAUUCGUGAUGUGCAAUUCAAAUCUUUGAUUUUUAUUUGGGAAUUGAUUGUACUUAUUUUCCGUAAAUCUUUACCUUGAAAAAAAGCAAGUAGGCUCCAAAUGGUAACUGCGGUUUGAGCGGUGCGGGACAAGCAGUUUAACUGUGGUGCGGUUUUAACAGUUAUAAAAACGUAUAAAUAUAUGGUAUAUGUAAAUAUUUUUGUUACUAUUAACUGCGGUGCGGGACGGGGCGGUUCGUAACAUUCGAAGCCAUAAUGUGUUUACAAUUUAGGUUGACUUAAUAAUAAACUUGAUCAAAGUCCAUUAUGAAGUUAUAAUGUACUUUUAUCAAAAUUAUAGUCCGGUUAGUUAAUCCAAUUUAGUCUUUUUCAGUAUAAAAUUCACGUUUUAAUUAAAAAAAAUUACAAAUUAAAAUAUUUUAUAUAACAAAUUAUAUUUGAUGUAAUGUUAUAUAUAACAUUUAUAACGUAAAAGUAGUCAAGACGCAUAUUUUUAUCCUAGUUAAAAUGGUAAAGCAGAAAUACGGAUUUGCUAAUUAUUAUUUAAUUUUAAGUGUACAUUAUAGGUAUUUCGAGUAGUUUAGACAUGCAUUCAUUUGCCUACACACUUUGACUGUUUCUUUCUGUAAAAGAGAAGAAAAAACUUGUAGAUUCCAAAAAUCGAUUAUAGUGAAAUCUGCAGCGAUUGAAAAUGGACUUAACUCUCACAGUAAAGAUGAUCCAUUAUAAAUUUUGUGUUCAGUUUUUUUCUUUUUCUGUUAUAUAUCAUCGGUUUUGGGAUCCAAUACUAAAUAAAUAAGCUCCACCAAACUAUGAACGUUACCGCCAAUUCGUACGUGUUGUUUUACUGAUUUGAACAUCAUUAUAUAUUUAUAUAUGCGUGUUAAAUCAUAAUAGUGACAACUCAAGAAAAAAGGCAGUACAACAAUACAGCAAACAUGCGAUGACAAGUUGUACAUAUAAUGGUCGAGACCAUAAGAUAUCUGUAGACGAUUUUUGAAUAUAGAUUAGGGAGGACCCGAAGUUGGCAGAUAAAGUUGGUAUACUAUUUCAUUUAGCAAUUUUUUAACAAUGUCUUGAAAUUUCAGAUACGAUUGAUUCAAAAUAAUUGGAUGGAUGUUUUCCUCUCCAAGGGAUUGAUAUAUUUCAGACGAUGGAAGUAGAUUUUUCUAACCAGUUUUUUUUCUUCAAAUUAUUAGGUAGUAAUUGGGAGCAAAAUUUUCUAAACAAAUAAUCGCAGAUUUUUUUGUUUUCUAUUUCUGCGUUAAGAAAAUAUGAUUUUUAAUUAAAAUUAAAGAAACUGAUCUUUUUUUUUUUACAGAAAAUGAUGUUUAAAUUCUUGAUAUCUAAUUAUAUAGUUUAGUAAAACUAAGCCAGUGUAAGGACCAUUUCUAGUACAGAGGCAUCUUGAACAUCUAAUCUUAAUUAACAUCCAGUAGCUAUAUGUUAAGUACAACUAGAUAGAGAAAACCCUAGUGACAUCUAUAUAUACAUAAGUUAAUGAAUAGUGACACAAAUAACAAUAUCUAUACUAUACUAAAAGGAGUAUAUAAGCUCCUCUUAGAGUGUCCACGUAGGCACAAAAAAUCGUCCAAUCAGAGAGUCCGAAGUUGCCACGUCAUCUCAUUUAUUUUUUCGUAAAAAAUGAAAAACCAAUGCAAAGGAAAUGAUCGAACCCGGGUUAGAAUGACAUGAAUAUAUGAGAGAUACCACUAAGCCAUUGAGACUUUCUUGGACACAUAUACAAGAAUCACUAAAUAUGUAAUCACACUCUUAUGUACAUUUAUAAUAAUAUGGAUUCAACUUUCAAGACUCCAAUACAUUGUUUUGUAAAAAAAAAUAAGUAAGUGACUAAGCUAAUAUAUUCUUUGAAAGUGUGAGAACAUUGACAUAUACCACAAAGAAAUAGAUUUUUGUUUUCGUGACAAAGUUAAGAAUUUUGUAAAAGUAUUAACAUAUAAAUUUUCGUGACAAAUAUGAAAAAACAUAAAUUUUUGUACAAUUUUGACAAAACAACUCAAAACAUAGUUCUCUAAUGUCUUAAUAAAAUAUUAUUUAAGGGUGCAAUAAUUAAAUAUAUCAAUUCAAUAAAUUUUGUAAUUUAUAAACAAAACAAUAACACAACAAAUUUUGAAACAUUUGUUUAACCUAUCGAUUUCUUUUCAUGAGAAUCCAACUAAACAAGAUAAAAAAAACAAUUAGAUUUAUUUAAUUACCAUUUUAUAUAUAGAUUUCAUAUACACAAAUAAAUAUAAUAUAACAACAUAAGCUUGCUUUCCCCGAUUCAUAUUAAAACCUUUUUAAGUUAUCUACCAAAACAAAUUAAUUAAAUCAAUCAAAUUGUUAGAAUAAAACAAAUUAAAAUAUAAUUUUAUUUUAAAUUAAAUUAUUUAAAAACUGAUUUGAUGGUAAUUUUUAUGACAUAUAUAUAUUAUGUGAAAGAAAUAUAAGCUUAAUAUGGAAAAAAAUCUUAAAUACAAAAAACUCUAAAAUUAACAAAAAAAACUAAUAAAAAUUAAACUAUGAUAUCAAUUGAAAGCUUCUUAGACAAUAUUAAUAAAAUAUUUAAGCGAUAAUAAGACAAAUUUGAUUUUUUUUUCAGCCAAAAGUUUAUUAUUAAUUAGCAUCAGUUAUUUCAAAAUAUUUAAGAAAUGAUGGACUUAAAUGAUACAUGAACUAUGAAUAGUAGUACUUUGUAAACCUGACUUAGAUAACACAUCUGUACAUCAUUUCCCGUCCUUUUUGAUGCCUAAAUUCAAAUUUUUCAGAGCAGUUAUUCCACAAAGAGAUCGUAUGAGAAAUUGUUUUGAUAUUCAUAUUUGUUUCUUGACUGUUAAGAAGAUUGAUAACUGUAAAAAUGUCUCCUUCGAAUAUUAUAUGUCUAUAAUCGAAUUUCCACCAUGAGACAACUUUGUUUAAAAAGUAAAUAAUUUCAUUUUUUAUAUUAUAUAAUAAAUAUAUAUUAUUUAGAUAAUAAAAAUAUAGUUAUUCAUCUAUUACAAAUAUCUAUGCAAAUAUGUGAAUCAAAUACAACAAUCAAACAACAUAAUGAUUUCCACAAAGAAAAUUUAAAAUAAAUAUAUUUAUGUUAUGUAGUCUUAUUUUAUAUUCUUUGAAUAAUGUAAUACAAUAUUAUACAUUAUUUUUUUAGAAUUGAGAAUUACAUAUAUAUCAAUUAGACAAAUUAAGCGAUAAUUAGACAAAUUUGAUUUUUUUGCUAGCCAAAAGUUUAUUAUUAAUUAACAUCAGUUAUUUCAAGAUGUUUAAGAAAUGAUGGACAAAAAAAUAGAAUGAACAUAAAUAAUAUAUGAACUAUGAAUAGUAUUUUGUAAAGCUCACUUAGAUAACACAUCUACACAUCCAUUUUCAGUCCUUUUGAUGCUUAAUUCAAUUUCUUCAGAGCAGUUAUCCACAAAGAGAUCGUAUGAGAUUGUUUUGAUAUUCAGAUUUGUUUCUUGACUGUUAAGAAGAUUGAUAACUAUAAAAAUGUCUCAUUCGAAUAUGAUAUGUCUAUAACCGAGUCCCCAACAUGAGACAAGUUUGUUUUAAAAGUAAAUAAUUUUAUUUUUCUUAUAUUAUAUAACAAAUAUAUAUUAUUUACUGAUAAUAAAAAUAUAGUUAUUCAUCUAUCACAAAUAACUAUGCAAAUAUGUGAGUCAAGUAGAACAAUCAAACAACAUAAUGAUUUCCAUAAAGAAAAUUUUUAAAAAUAUUUAUAUUAUGUAGUCUUAUUUUAUAUUCUUUAAAUAAUGUGAUACAAUAUUAUAUAUUAUUUUUUUAGAAUUGAGAAAUACAUAUAAAAUUUUAUCCGCGCGUAGCGCGGUUAAAAAAUCUAGUUACAAAUAAAAUAUAAAAUACGGAGCUUAAAAAACAUCUGCCAAGAAUCUUUGUGCUGCAGUCUUUGAAAGUUAAAACAGUAAGUAAUAUAGCUUCACUAGCCAACAGAACUUUGUCUCUACACUGCUGGUUUCAAAAGGAUUCUCUUUUAAAGAAGUGAAGAAACAAAGAAAGACUACAAGAUAAAAAGAGCUUAAUCAAGAAAGAUAUGUUUGGCAAUUGUGACCAAAAGAAGAAGAUGCCUAUCAUCCAGUCUCCUAAUACAAAUCCACCGGUCUCUCUCUCUCUCUCUCUCUCUCUCUCUCUCUCUCUCUCUCUCUCUCUCUCUCUCUCUCUCUCUCUCUCUCUUAAUAAUAUUGACCCAUUUAUCUUUUGUUUCUUAGCUUUUGGAUCCGAAUAAUAUCCUUUUGUCCUCUCUUUGUUCUCUUGCCUUUAGUUAAACCACACAAUCUAAAAACAAAAAAUUCUCUCUUCCUCUCUUCUCAGGCAAGUAUGCAGAGCAAGAACAUGAUCGUUUCUCCGUCUCAUCAGCAGCAACCGCCUCAACCGCAACUUAAAUGCCCUCGUUGCGAUUCAUCGAACACAAAGUUCUGUUACUACAACAACUACAGCCUCUCUCAGCCGCGGCACUUUUGCAAGGCUUGCAAAAGGUAUUGGACACGAGGUGGGACCCUCCGUAACGUUCCCGUAGGCGGUAGCUACCGGAAGAACAAACGUGUGAAAAGGCCAGCAACCACAACCGCAGCUUCCACGGCCUCGACGACUACUUCUUCAUCCCCUAAUAAUCCUCAUCAUCAGAUCUCCCAUUUCCCUUCCAUGAAUCAUCAUCCCUUGUUCUAUGGUUUAUCAGAUCAUGUGAGCAGUUGUAAUAGUCUUCCAAUGUUUCCAAGCCGUUUCAGUGAUCCUCCAAAGACUUCAAGUGGUUUAGAGGGUGAGUUUCCCUCAUCUGGUUUUAAUGGUCUUGGAUUAGGGCUUCCACAUCAUAUGAGUCAUGACCAAACCAUUAAUGGUAGCUUCAUCAACAGCUCUACAACAAACAAACCAUUUCUUCCCUCGAGUCUAUUUGGGUCGUCUGUAUCUUCCUCUUCAUCUACUCUUCUCCGGCAUGCACACAAGCCCAUGAACAAUAAUGGUGAGAUGAUGGGACAGUCCCAUCUCCAAACCCUAGCAUCACUUCAAGAUCUGCAUGUUGGAGGUAACAAUGAAGAUGUGAACAAAGAAGGAAAGCUUGUUGAGAUCUCCGGGGACAUGAAUGGGUUCAUGUCAUCAUCAUCCUUAGAUCCUUCAAACUACCACAACAUCUGGAAUAAUGCAAGUGUUUCCAGUGGAGCAUGGCUUGAUCCAACAAAUAAUAUCGUUGGAUCCUCCCUUACCUCCUUGAUAUAAACCAAAACUUAUUGGUUAUAACUAGCUAGGGUUUCAUCUUCAUCACUUUUUCUUUUCUGUUUUGAGAUGAGAGAAGAAGCUUGGAUCAGAGAGAUAAAAUCAAGGGCAAUGUUGUUCUUGGCCACUAUAAAUCUCCCUCGGAUCCUCUUCAUCUCACCAUCUCCAUCAUUUUCAUUCGCGUUGUUCAAGAAAAACAAAAGGGGCUCAAGAUUGGUUCAAGGUUUACUAUGGUUGACUGUUAAGUUCACCCAAGGUAAAUUAUACUUGUAUGUACAUAAUAUGGUCCUGACUUCUAUCAUCUUUUCUUUUCAUCUAUGUAAUUCUGAGGUCCACCACAUGGGUUGGUGUUUCUUUUCACUGGGAUUAGGAGGGUAUAUUUGGGUUAAUUUGAGUUUCUCAUGGGGCCGGAGAACUCAAUAGUUUUCAAGUUUUAGAUUUUUUUUGUUUCACUUUUCUUCGUUGGUAUGGCUUUCAUUGGGUAUACAAGCAGCGGGAGGAAUGGUGUUUUGUGUUGCUAUAACUUUGGUUAUUCACGUAUGAGUUAUGUUAUUACGGUUCUUUUGGAUGCAUGUCUAUGUAUAAUAUUAUAAAUAUGUUGUUAUCACGAUAGAUAUGGGACGAAUAUACAUGUGCAUUACUUGGAUUGUCCUAACGGAAAAUGUCCUUUGGCUAAUGUCAACUGGGAGAUUCAUGAAUAUGAAAUAAACUCGCACAAACGUCGUCAGUGGAUACAAUUAGUAUACUUAGACCGACAAAGCGGACAAAUAUUGUAGAUAUUUUAUUCAUAUAAAAUACUGCUCAUAUUCUUAUGUCAUAUUGAUAAUUUUGUUCUCUAGCAUUUUGGCUACAAGCCUUACAACUCAUGGUUCCGUGUAUAUUACAACCGAGACAUAUAUAUAUGAGCACAGAUUUGGUCCAGGCCUGGAGUUUAGUGAGGUGUCUUUGUAAAGUGGGCACGAGUUCGUUACCAGUUUCUUCAUGUCAUGUUCUCAGAAAUGAUUUUCGUACAAGAGUUGGAGACUAUUAUUCUAAAACAUUGUACUGUUUGGACACAUUGACUUUUUAUCAAUUUUUUUGCAGAUAAUCUACGGAUCAAAAUUCAAUUAUCACGCGAUUGCACAAAAUAUCAUGAUUUUACGAUCGAUCUCAUCUGAAAGUCCUAUGUUGAGAAGUAUGGGCUAUUUGGAAUGUGUCUGCCCCGGUUAAUGGUUGUUGCAUCUCCAUCUUUGUAAUUAUGGAUCAGGUGUUGAGGAUUGCACACGAUUGUACAAAGAUAUAUAGUGUGCAUCAUGGGUUGUUGGCGACAAUAGAAGCUUGGUACUCUGCCAUAGCCAUCUAUCCUUUUCUCAGAUAAUGUCUUGUUUCGAUUGGAAAAUCAAAAGUUGGGAAGGCUUCUUGGAUAGUAUGAGAAGCUUGAAACUCAAUAAUAUUUUUGGAAAUUAUCAAAGCGUUGCACAAGCACUUAGACUAGCAAGUUUUCAUGGGACAUACUGCGGGUGUGAUUUACUCUCAUAGAAGCCCAAGUUGGGUAAGAUAUUUCUUUUCAGGAACCCAAAGUGUAGUUUAGGAUAUAAUCUUAUAAAUUCGUAUGUGGCAUAAGAAUGCCCUGUUGGAUGAAUGAAUUCCUUGAGAAGGAAAGUUCAGUCACCAUAGUUGCAUUCACCCUAACUCAAUUCAGUUAACAAAACUCAGUUCAACGAACCAAGUGGUGGUAUUCUAGUGGUAAUCUCUUGGGGCUCAGCGUGUAUCCACCUGGUAGUAUUAUAGUGGUAAUCUCUUGGGGCUCAACGUGUAUCCACGUUGAUCCUGAAUUGAUUCUUUCUGGAAACUAAGUUAUCAUUAUUUAGCUAAUGUGGACUUGGGCUUUGGUCCAGGUAGUUAACAUGGUGGAUCGUAACAGAUGAUCGGUUCUAAAACCCUAGCUGUCAAGAGAGAGAGAGAGAGAGAGAGAGAGAGAGAGAGAGAGAGAGAGAGAGAGAGAGAGAGAGAGAGAGAUUUUUAAUAGUUUCAAGCCAAUGACUGGAGGCUUCUAUAGCUCCGACAUCGGCUCGUUUGAUUCGUUUUGCUUUUUUGUUUCUUUGUUUUGCUUUACUUCAUGUAAUUUGUUUUUUUUAUUGUCAAUUAAUUUAAAUCUGACAAAGUUUUUAUUGUUCCUUUGUAUGUUUAUUCCAAUGGAUUUGGUAAGACAAAAAAAUUUGUUUCAAUUGAAACGUUUAGAAAAGUUAAUUGACAAAUCUACUGCGGAUGGCCGAUGGGUCUUACCGGUGAUGGGUGCUUGCUGCAAACUAUGGUUACUUUGAAAGGCAACAAGACAUUCUAUUGAACAGUAGUAAUCUCUUCGAAUCUGUUAUUAUCAAUAGAACAAUAUAAAGAGUUGUCUUGUCUCGGUGACUCCUACUGGAGUAUUAAAAUGAGAGUGGUGCUUAUGGAUUAAUAUGAAGAUUAUCUUCUUUAAAAUUCAACUAUUCCAAAUGCAAUUAAAAGCAUCUCCAAUGGUGUUACCACCAUUAGAGUCCUUAUCAUUAUUAAACUACUUUUUUUUAGAAUAAUUAAGGACUCUAAUCAAAAUUGUAUGUCCAAUGGUGUUCUCCAAUUUGGAGUCCUUAAGAAUAAAAAAUAUUAAAUUUUAAAACAUGUUAAAUCUAAAAUUUUAUUUAUUACAUGAUUAAAUAUAAAGAUACAAUAAUUAUUAAUCUUCAUCACCAAAUUUGUUCCAAAUGUUUUCAAUCAAAUCAUUUUUCAAUUGUUCAUGUAUACGCCUAUCGCGAACAUGAUUCCAAAUGCCAAGCAUAUUACUGAGAUUUGAAGGCAUGUCGGUACUAUAAGACAUAUCCACCCGAGAGCUUUUUUUCCUCUUUCGUGUCGCAAAUGAUUUUUUUUUCAAUCCGGAAUAGAUACAAGACGGCACCAAUCAGACGCGGCCACGUCUCUAAGGACUAAGUCCUUAAACCCCUUAUCUACGUUCCAGUCCUUACGAAACUUACCUUACUUAAUACUAUUUUAUUCUGAUUAAUCUAGGUUUAUGUGCUAAGGAUUGGUGAAAAAUCACUGUUACGGAUGCUAGGCCUGGGCGUUCGGUCCCUCCGUCGGAUUCGGUUCGGUUUAAACGGGUUUUCGGAUUUUCGGAUGUAAGCCUAGAAGUCCCAUUCGGUUUUUUAAAAUUUCCGAUACGGUAUCGGUUCGGAACCGGUCCGGAUAAAGCUCAGAAGAUCCGCUUAAACCCGAAAUUGAAAUGGACCCGGUUCGGUUUCGGGUUUUGUAACCAAAAUAACCAAAAAAUCCCAAAAAAACCCGAACUACCCAUUCAUUAACACACCAAAACAGAACAAACUUUACGCUAAAACUUAGAAAGAUACUGAAAUUGAAAGCCACAUAAUAGUACUAGAGUAUUAGACAACAUGAAUUAAACCAUAAGCAAAUCAAAAUGCUCAGUCGAUUUUGCAUCUCCCCACUAUGAAAAUACAAACGAUCGUUAACAGCUUCAGAUUCAUCUUUUUUGUUAUGGUUUCUCAAUCAAAAGAUGAUGUCAAAACCACCAGUAAACAUAAAAGCACAUAUGUAAGUGAAUAAUAAGAACAAGAAAUUACAGAUAACAAUGAAAAAUUAAAGAGAAAACAUGCAUAUAAAAGAUGAAUUAAUGAAAAAAGCGAAUCAAAAGACAUGCAAAUAGAAGAUGUUUCUAUUGAUUUGGAAUCAAUUAAAAAUUUCCAGAAAAACCGAAGAAGAAGAAAGAAAACUUAUGAACCUGUGAUUGAUUUUGAUUCUUCUAAUUCUCAGGUAAAACAUGAGACAGAGAGACAAAGAGAUUUAUAGUUCCAUUUUAUUAUUAUAAGAUUGAAUCAAAAAACUUUGUUCUUUUGGGAUUAGGGUUGGUGGCCGAAAGGAAAACGAGAACAAGAGAGAGAGGAAAAUACAUAGAAAUUAUGUAAAUGUAACAGCAUAUAACAUAAAGAAUAACAUAAAUCAUAUAUAAGAUCGGUUUAGCUCGGGUGCUUCGUUCGGACUCGGUUUACAACCGAACCGAUCGGUUAUCCGAAAGCCAAGAGGUUAAGACCCAUUCGGUAUUUAGCAUGGAUCCGUUACCGAUCCGAACCCGCUACUUCGGUACGGGUAAAGGUAUGGGCUUCGGGUAUAGUUAUUUUCGCCCAGGCCUAACGGAUGCUUUAAGGAGCUUUUAUAUGAAAAAAAUUUAGUUAUCCAUACAAAAAAUAGAUAUGUUAGUUUAUUUUGAAUCCCUACUUGUGUAUCCUUUUUCUACAUUUGUUUUGUUAGUUCUCAUUGUUUAGAACUAUUUGCCUAGAAAGCUUAACAAUACAAUCAUGUAUAAAAAACAGAUGAUCGGUCCAUCACUUGGCAUUAGUCGGAAAUCAUUCCAAACUCGGACCAGACAGUAUAGUAAUCAGUUUACUCUUUAACACUAACUGUAUUUUUUCCGGAACUGACCGGAUCAGUCGAUAUGUAUAUCAAACAAAAAACGUGAUUCUGUUAUUGUAUGAUUUAGACUGAACAUGUGCUCUGUUUUAAGUAAAGUUCUUAUGCUGUUUUUCGAGUUUUGUUUAUGCUAUGUUUUUGGAGUAUCUAGACUUUGACUUCAGCUUGCGUGAGCUUUUAUUGAAUUUCACUUUUGAGGGAAAAAACAGUACUUACUAGCUUCCACUUUUUUUUGUCAUCUGAAGAUUAUAUUAAACGGGGUAAACUAGCUUCCAAUUUUUUAUUACGUGUAGUUUUUACAUUUUCAGGACUAGCUUCCACAUUUUCCGUAUAUCACCACAUUUUAGAUGACAUAAGCAAUGAAUAUGGAAACGAAAAAAAUACAUUUUGGCAUGAGAAAAAUGCUUAUUUUCUGAUUGUUCUGGAAAUGAUUUUAAAAUUAAAAACCUUAAAUACAAAGUACACACAAAAAGAAUGACGAGUUCAAGAUUUCAUACAAGUACUGCAUCCCAUACUAAUGCAAAGAUAUAAAUACUUAUGAAUUAACCAAAUAGUAAUAAUUAAUUGAAUUUUCUUUAUUGCUUAUAAAAUUUAUCUCAUUUUAUAAUUUUAUGUAUACGAAAAAUAAAUAAAAAUAUUAAAAAUAAUAAUAUGGUGUUUUAUUUAUUCGUGCAAUUUUAUAUAAAAAUAUGAACGGUUCACUUAUUUAUUUUUGGUGUACAUCAAGUUGCAGCUAUUCUUCAGAGUUAAAUUAGAACUGGUUUGAGUUGUAAAUAGAUAAAAUCAGAUUAAUUUUGUUAAAAUGAAUUGUGUCCAGAUUAUUUUUUAGUUUUGUAAAAUAUGUUUUCUUAAUUGUUUUAUAUUUUCUUAUAUAGUAUUUGAGAACAGUAUGAAAAAUAAACUAAAGUGUUAUCAGUUUUUACCCAAGUUUAGUUUGGAUUAACUAAUAAUUAUCCCCAAGUUUAAUUUUAAUCGUUCAAUUUGUUAUUUAGUUUAAAGUUAGCUAUAACAUAAAAAAUAUAUGAUUGGAUCAGUGAUCAAAGAUCAAUAUAUGAUCUACUUCUAUUAUUUAUCAUAACUUUGCAUCAUUUCUAAUUAUUUGAUAUAAUAGAUAUAGUAAAAAAAUGUUAACUAUUUUAUUUGAAUAUAAUAAUAUAUUGACAUAUUUUUCUUAGGAAAUAUUUUUAAAAAAUAUAAAUUUAUGUUAUUAAAGAAACAAAUAAUAAGGGAAGUUAUUAUUUCUUAUUAUUUCAAAUAUUAUAAGUGCAAAAGGAAACAAAAAAAUAAAAUAAAAAUCUUAGUAAUGGUAUUGUCCAGAAUAUUUUUAAUUCAUUAAGGAUAAUUGUAAUUAACUAUUCUAAAAAUUAAUACGAAAGCGACACAUAAAAUUGACUUAUAAUAAUAUUAUAGAUGUUAUCUUUUAUGACACAAAGACCACAAUACAUCAGGAAUUUUUUAUGGAUUCCCAACAGUUUGUGGUUUCAAAUCGAAUCAUGAUACUUCAUUGAAAAGCCAAGACGGAUUCCAGACAGAUUUUUCUGACGAAAAAUUUUAAUACCUGAUUCCAAACACUUUGUCUUCCCCAUUCGUGUUCCCCAUUCUACUCUCUCUCUCUCUCUCUCUCUCUCUCUCUCUCUCUCUCUCUCUCUCUCUCUCUCUCUCUCUCUCUCUCUCUCUCUCUCUCUCUCUCUCUUCUCUCUCUCUCUAAAAGCACGAAACUCUCCUUUGUUGCCAUUCUCUAUCAAAAUUGUCUCCCUCUCUCCCAAAAUCAUCUCCAUUUUUAAUGAUAUUGUUAGAUCAUGUUAAAUUGUAGAUUUUACUGAUUUGGAAAUUAAUUUUAACUAUUUACACUUUCAUAUAUAUGAUUAACUAUCUUGAUUUUACUUAUUAUUUAGAAUUUGAGAGACAAUAGAAUUUCUAAAACUGGUUUGGGAGUGUAUGUUCAGUAAUCAGUUGAUUAUGUCUUAUCAAUACUUUUUUGAACUUGUUAUAUUUGCUUAUUGUUGAAUGUUUUGUUUUUGAACCAUGAAAGGUUAUUGAAUUAAAGAUUUUUGUAUUUCGUAUAUUUAUUUGGUCAUGUAUGAUUUUAAAUUUUGUUCGGAUAAAAAAAGUACUUUUUAGGUUUUAUGCGUACUUUUUGUAAUUUGGAUAUACAUACCCAAAAAAUACCGAAUCAGUUUUUUUUUUUUAAACUUUGAAUACAAAGGAACCAAAUCGAGUCAGAAUUGAUAAUAUUGGGGUUUUCUUAAAAGCCACACCCCUACUAAUCUGAACUGAUCAGAAUCAAUUUCUUUGUGGUUCCUAUUUGACUACUAGAAGUGAAAAACUGAAUAAUCUGAAAUCUGAACUAAUCGAACUGAACACAUAUCAGAAUCAAAUGUGCGUGCCUAGAUUAAAAAAAAAUCUCUAUGUAAAAAAAAUAUGUUUGUUUGAAAAAAAAAGAAUUUAAAGGAAAAUAAUCAUAACUACCAGAGAUAGUAGAAGAUUGCAUACUACUUCAAGUUUUUGACGAGCGGGAUCACCUCCACAGAAAUGUUAUCGCCAUUCGCAACAACCUCUCACAAAAAAAAUGUUUAAUUUGAUAUACUUAUAAUAAUUUUGUUAUUAUGCAAAAUUUAAAUGCUAAAUAAAACUAUUGUUUUAAAAUAUAGUUGUUGAUUAUUUUGGCUCUAACAAAGCGUUAUUUUAAUGAUAUGGAAAAAGCGACAAAAUAUAAAAAUUAAUGGCAUUAAUUGAGUUUCUGCAAAAUAUGAAUUACGGUUAGUUAAAAAUAUUCAAAAAUUAAUACUGGGUCAAAUAUUUAUCCUUUCUAAAACUCUAUUGAUUUUUUCUUUUCAAAUUUUUAAUUCAAAUAAUUUAGUAUAUUAUGUAAACGAAUAAAUACAAUUCAAAAAUAUAAAUAAAAGGAGAAAAAUUGUAAUGACUAACUAAUUAAAAAUUAAAAUACGAAUGCCACUGAAUUCAGUCUCCCCAAAUUUUGAUAUACCAUUUCUAAAACCGAAUCAGUUUUAUUUUUUUUUUAAAGUUUGAAUACAAAGGAACCAAAUCGAGUCAGAAUUGAUAAUAUUGGGGUUUUCUUAAAAGCCACACCCCUACUAAUCUGAACUGAUCAGAAUCAAUUUCUUUGUGGUUCCUAUUUGACUACUAGAAGUGAAAAACUGAAUAAUCUGAAAUCUGAACUAAUCGAACUGAACACAUAUCAGAAUCAAAUGUGCGUGCCUAGAUUAAAAAAAAAAUCUCUAUGUAAAAAAAAUAUGUUUGUUUGAAAAAAAAAAGAAUUUAAAGGAAAAUAAUCAAUAACUACCAGAGAUAGUAGAAGCUUGCAUACUACUUCAAGUUUUUGACGAGCGGGAUCACCUCCACAGAAAUGUUAUCGCCAUUCGCAACAACCUCUCACAAAAAAAUGUUUAAUUUGAUAUACUUAUAAUAAUUUUGUUAUUAUGCAAAAUUUAAAUGCUAAAUAAAACUAUUGUUUUAAAAUAUAGUUGUUGAUUAUUUUGGCUCUAACAAAGCGUUAUUUUAAUGAUAUGGAAAAGCGACAAAAUAUAAACAUUAAUGGCAUUAAUUGAGUUUCUGCAAAAUAUGAAUUACGGUUAGUUAAAAAUAUUCAAAAAUUAAUACUGGGUCAAAUAUUUAUCCUUUCUAAAACUCUAUUGAUUUUUUCUUUUCAAAUUUUUAAUUCAAAUAAUUUAGUAUAUUAUGUAAACGAAUAAAUACAAUUCAAAAAUAUAAAUAAAAGGAGAAAAAUUGUAAUGACUAACUAAUUAAAAAUUAAAAUACGAAUGCCACUGAAUUCAGUCUCCCCCAAAUUUUGAUAUACGAUUUCUAAAACUAAAAAUAUUUGCUUUUCAAUGUUUGAAUUCAUAUUACUUCUAUGUUUAAUAAGGUAGUAUGUAGGGAUAAUUUGCAAAAUACCCUAUAUAGGAUUUGAAAUUUAAACAUUGCAUUUUCUAAUUUAAUUUUUUGAAAACUACACUUCUUUAAUUAUGAAUUGACUUUUUUACCCAAGAUAUUUCAAUAAUUAAGAUAUUAAUUCGAAAUUAAUAUAUAAAUUCGAAAUUAAUAAAAUAAUAUCAAAAUAAUUUUGUUUAAGAUAAACAUGUUAUUUUAUUAUUUAUAAAAACAAAGAUAAAUAUGUGAAUUAUGAUUUGUUUUGACUUUAUCAUGAAGUUUAUACAAAUUUCCUUUUAUUUUUUUUCUUCAACUUAUAUAAACAAGUCACGUUGUUAAAAGAAAAAGCAAAUCACAUUUGUCUCCUACUAUCUUUUAUUUAGUUAUAUUGAAAUUUUGUGUUCGUUGGUUUGACAUAGUAUCAUGAUGGGAGGAUGAAACUUGCGGGUGUUAAAUUGACAGAUUUUGAACCGGGAAUGGAGAUGGAAAAGGAGGGCGAGCUGCCUUUGUCGAAAGUAGCAAUUGAUGAUAUCUUCUGAUGGAACAGGUUAAGUAGGAAAAAUACAUUAACAAAUGAGCAGUCUCAUCAUUCAAAAUUCAAGUUCUUUUAUCUUAUCAUUCCGCCAUUGCUCCUCAGUUACUUCCUAGUCACCUAACACACAAGUUCCACGUUUAUGAGGUUUUUGCAGUUGAGAUACUAGUACUAGUCACAAUAGUAACAAUACUAAAUAUUGCAGGACUUAUCCUGUGUCAACAUGACAUUGUAGUCCCUGAUUGUUACAACAUUUAUAAACUCCAAUAUUCACAUGAUUGUUUUCACACCUCCUUGAAGUCUUGUGUUUUUGUGCGUGAAUCUUCUCCACGUCUUCUUCGGUUGUCUCUACAACCGGAUAAUGCCUCCUUUCACUCAUAGGUAAGCAUAUCCUUCUUGUGCCGAGUAGCCUUGCUCUGUUUCUUCCAACAUGCGGCCUCUCCCGUGUAGUCGUCUUUAACAAAAGACUCCACACCACUCUCGUUAAUGAGCCAGGGGUUAUGCGUUUAUCUUCUCUAUGGCGGGGAGUUUCAGUUAUAAGUGUAACAAUCUCUUAGGUUAUAGUUUAACUACACCACCAUGCUGUCUUUUUGACUACUACUGUCUAGUUUCUACCAAAUCUAUGUUUUUAACUUCUUUAAAGGGUAACAAGUGUUGCAGAGACAAACGGUCUUGGACAAAGUAGGAGCUAAAGAAAUACAAAACAAAAAGUAGGAGCUAAAUAGUUCUCUCAUGGGAUCAAUCAGAUAAUAGUAUGAAACUAGAACGAGCAUUUACAAAUUUUGUGGUCUGCAAUUUCAGAGUCCAUCUACCGCAUAAACGACACUUGCGUCGAACUUGAACAGAAGCAGAGUUCUUCAAAAGGUGUAGAACAAAUGGAAAACAUAACAAAUGUUGUGAAAAUAAUCAACCUUAUUACAAAAUAAAACCAAAACAAUUACCAAAACCUAGAGUAACCAAAACCAAACAUUGCAAAAAAAAAAUCUAGAACAAACGUCUGGAACAGAACAAACUUCAAAUUCCAAAGUCGCAACUGACACGAUUGUGUCCUGAACGAUGACAUCUUGAGCAAGCUUGUUUUCGUGCUUUUUUUUGAGCUGUUGCUUGUUCUCCAAAGCAUUCAUAUCUUCUUUUCACAGGUCUUUCAGCACCUCUUUUAACAUCUGGAGGAAAGCAUUUAUAAGCCACAACAUGUGGAGGUAUUUCGCUUGCUUACAGCAACUCAUCUAUGGGUCUUAUAAUCUCUGAAUAUGCAGCACACAUGUUUGCCUUUGAGUAGUAUUGAUGCAUCAAUAACCCAGGGUUAAAGCCUCGACUUGUUGCAGCCUUAGCAGCAUGCUUACAAGGGAUCUUGUCAACAUUAAACACAUUACAUGUGCAAGUCAUUUGUUGAAGAUCAACCAAGUAAUUUCUUGACCCAUCAGUAACCUGAAACUCAUGUUGAUUUAUUGACUGAACAUCAAAAGUAGACGCCAAAUCACACCUUCUAUUGAGCUUCUUUUCAACUUUAGGCGUGAGAGAAGAUUUGAGCAUCACAGCACUUUCUCGAUGGUUGAAAAAUCACCGUGUAAGCAGAAUUAGAAAUUAAAAUCUGAUUGAUGAAUCAACAAAUCUCUUGAGCUGAGAGGAAGAAUCUGUAAAACUAGAGAGAAAGGAAAAAAAAUUCAGAAAUUGAAUGGAUAUGAGAAGAAGACGAGAAGACGAGACUAGUCUUGCGUUCUUUAAUUUUUUUUCAAAAUAAAAAAAAAACUUAAGAUAUAUUAAAAAUAUAUGGGAAAUAUAUUGUGUAGUAUAUUAAAAAGAUAUUCCCUAUUCUCUAACGAUUUUCUUUUAAAAUAAUUUUAUAAAAAAUUGUUUAAUAGGAAUUGAUAAAUAUAAAGAUUGGGCAAUUUGGUAAAUUUAUAUAUAGAUAAGUGUAUUUUUCAGAAAGGUUAAACAAAAGUGCAUUUUUCAAAUUAUAUUUUAUUGAAGUGCAUUUAUCCAAAUUUUCCCUAGUAUUAAUUUAGUUGUGGUCAAUACUCAAUAGGAUAUUACAGUAUAUGUAAGGACGAUAGUGAAGUAACUCCAAAAAAAUACUCCCUCCAGAUUUGAAUAUAUGAUGUUUAAGGUUGUGCACACAUAUUAAGAGAAAUUAAAUACUUACUUUUAUCAAAUACUUUUGGGUUUUGCUUUUAGUUAGUUUAAAGAUUUAUUUGAAUCCCAAUAAAAUUCAACCACUUAUAUUUUUUACAUUUUGAUUUAUAUUUUAUUUUAAAAACAAAAUGCAUUAAUGAAAAGUAGAACAUUAUGGGGAUGAUUGGUUGGGGCUGUAGAUGCUCUGGACAGCCAAAAUUUAGUCUAGAGCUAUAUAUCUCAACCAAUCGAGCUUUGCUUUCCUUAAAAACCUCACAGCAAAAAAAUCUCUGCAAAAUCAAAAUAUGGCUGUAGAGAGCUUUAUUUCCAGAGCAAAAAAAUAGUGCUUUAGAAAUCUACAGUAAGGAAAGCUACAGCAAAUAAAUCUACAGAUUAAAUUCUACAGCAAAAAAUAUAAAGCUACAGCACUUACCAAUCAUCCCCUAUACAUUUGUAUACAAGGGAAAAAACUAAAACAUCAUAUAUUCAAAUCGGGAGGGAGUAGUAAAGAGCAUUCAGUACUCUCUCUCUCUCUCAUAAAAACACAGCCAAUGACCUUCUCGUGGUCUUCUGUGCCAUAAAAAUCAUUAUAUACAUUCAAACACCAAUCUGGCGCCACACACACAUACUCUCUUCCUCUCUCUCCUUGUAUGAGUGGUGAGAUGGUUAUCCCUAUAAGGUGCAGCAUCGAACCAUCUGCAACAUUUUUACUCGUUUUCUUUUUGUGUGUUUUCCAGCAAGUGUCUCUUCUUCACUCUCCCCAACGACCCUCUCUUCCAUUCAUAACUCUUUCUCUCUCCGGGCAAAAUGGAUAACUUCUUGCCCUUUUCCUCUUCUAACGCAAACUUUGUCCAAGAACUCUCAAUGGAUCUUAACAACAAUCGCUCACGCUUAUCAACGUUCCCUACUUAUGAUCAUCAUCAUCAGGCGCAGCCUCGCUCGUUGCAACCCUACUCAUAUGUUGCAUGUCCUGUGGAUCAGACGGCGGCUAUGAAUCCUCAGAUCCCGGUUACACAAACCGGAAGUGAGUUCGGUUCUCUGGUUUGUAAUCCCGGUUUCGGACAAGCAAGAGGUGGAUUUCUUGAUCCACACACGGCUAAGAUGGCCAGGAUCAACAGAAAGAAAGCGAUGAUAAGAUCAAGAAACAAUUCUAGCCCUAACUCUAGUUCGAAUGAGCUGGUUGGUUCAAGGAGACAAGUGGUUCUUACCAUGAAAAAUAAUGCCGAGAUAGCAGCAAGGAAAGAUCUCUAUCGAUAUCCCUCAUUCGAUAACAAGGUUUGUUCCAAAUAUUAGAUAUUUUCGAUUUUAUAUAUAUAUAAAACUUGAUCAAACGUUUUGGAUUUUGUGGUUGACUGUAGAAGCUUAGGGUUUUGCUGGUGAAACACUUGAAGAACAGCGAUGUUGGAUCACUUGGGAGGAUCGUUCUACCAAAGGUGUGUAAAUUCUUACAAUUCUUUUAUCCAUCGUUUUCGUUAAGGUGUAAAGAUAAAAUAAAUUUUAUAGGUAAAACAUUAAUAUGAAAUAGUUAACUUUAAUAUGAAAUAGUUAUCAAUCACGUAACUACGAAAUUUGAAACCUCAAUUCCAUGGAAAAGUUUUAGAAAAGUAAUAUGGUUUCAGGAUUUGGCUGGCCCCUUUUUCAAAGAAGGUUUGUGGAACAAAAGUACAUAAGUCAUUGCGGCCACAAACUCUCAUUAAGAAAUUUCACUGAGAUUUUUUCUAACAUUUCAUUCCAUUUUUAAAAUAUAGUAGUAGUAUAUUUAGCGAUUUCGUGGUUUAACCAAUUACAAGUUCAGUCUCUAAAAACAACACGGAAAACAAGGGGAAUGUGAAACAUGACAACAAAAUGUAGAAUGUAGUAAAGUUGUUUAUAGUAUUUGUGUUUGUUCAAGUACGAAUUUUUAUGACAUUUUUAUAGAUUUUUAGUUUAGGAAGAAUAUGGAUUGUUUGUAAAUUCUAACUAAGCUGAUUUAUUUAAAGAUAUCUGGAGUUUGAAGGAUUAACAAAUUCUUCAAGUUUUGGAGUGAAAAAAUCUAAAUAGAUUCAAUAUAGUUUCCUUUUUGUAACCAAUAAGGAAAAGACAUGAGUGAUAGAACAUGAGAAAUAAUCAAUUUUAUUCUACUACUAGAUAAAGUGAAACUGUUUAUAUGAAUUUAUUCCAAAAUGAUGCUGAAGAAAAAUAAAGUCGUCUAUUUGCCUUUCCUAAUUAAUUGACUCUUAAAUGGUAUACCUCGAAAUCAUUAUGGGAAAGUAUCAAGAAACAAAAAAAAACAAUUUGGAAAAGAGGUUCAACGAUAUUUACUUGAUACUGACUGAAACAAAUUAUAAUUGUCUGUUAUCUGUCUUAAUUAAAACAGUAAGAAAGUCAUUUUUCGAUAAGAAAAGUCAUUAAAUAAUCCCUUAAAUAAGUCAUGGCUUUGGAACGCAGAGAGAAGCUGAAGGGAAUCUUCCGGAGCUAUCUACUAAAGAAGGAAUGAUAGUAGACAUGAGAGAUGCGGACUCUAUGCAGAAUUGGUCUUUCAAAUACAAGUUAAGUCUCGUUUUCAUCUCUUAUAUGAACUCAAUUAUAUUCACAAAAGCAAUUUAUUAAUCGUUUUAUUUUACCAAUGGGUUAUAACAAUCUUUUAAGCUCACUUUUUGAUGAUUUCAAGUUAGAAUUUUUAUCAAUGUCAAUUUAAUGUCAUACUUAAAAAAGCUUGUAUCACUGUGAACAUAGGUUCUGGUCCAAUAACAAGAGCAGAAUGUAUGUCCUUGAAAACACAGGUAAUUAAGGAGCUACUAUAUUCUUUUUAAAGUAUACUACUUAUUUAAACUAUUUUAUUAUAAUACGUUUUUCCUUUUGUCUUAAAAAUUAAAGGACAAUUUGUGACUGAAAAAAGAGUUGAGAUUGGAGAUUUUUUAACAAUCUACGAGGACGAAAGCAAGAAUCUCGUGAGCUCUCUUAUUAACUCUCUUUUCUUGUUUUAUUUUAAAAAAGACAAAACUCUAAAAUAAACUAAUAAUGAUUGAUUAGCAGUCCGAAAUUGGAAAUUUAAAAAGUGAGCCAUUAAAUUGUGUUUGUUAAGCAUCUAGACAAAAACUUAUUGCCUUUUUGACCUUUUCUGUCGAUGAUAGCUGUCCGUAUAAGGAAGGUACUAUAAGAAUUUCAAACCUUAGUUUUAAUAUACUACUGAAAAUCGAUUCUUUAUUCUUUUCUUUUUUUUGCUAAACUGAAAAUUAAAGACAUGAUAUAUUCUUUCAAAAAAAGAUGUGAAAUAUAUGAGGGUGACUAGUAUUAAUUUAAAUUUUAUGUUUAAUAAAAUGCUUCUUCUAUUUACUCAUAUUUUUAUUCUACUAUUUUGCUAAGUAGGGAGUGAUGUAAUAUGUUUUUCUCUAGAAAAGUUGUUCUUUUUAUCAGCCAAUUUGUUUGGUUUGACUACAUAAACUCUUUGUUGACAAAAAAAAAGCCUACAUAAACUCUUCCAAAUUAACAAACUGUUUUUAGGAUUUGAUUUCAUAUCAGAAAUAAUUUCUUUUAGAAAAAUAUUAUUUUUAUUUAUCUAAAUUUUUUCAAUUUUGAAGAUAAUUUAUUUCUCCAUUAUUUUCGACAAAGUUCAAAUUUAAUAAAAAUAUUUAGUAUACUAUUUUCUAGUUAUCCUCACAAAAUACUUUUUAUUAGCAUAAUAAUAUAAUGUGCAAAAUUUAGUUCAUACGUACUUGAAUUUUAUAACUAAGACAAAUUGUUUUGUAAUUAGAAACCUGUAAAUGACAUAUUGGCAUUUAACUGAGUAGGAGUAGUGUUUUGGUUCAAAAACAUGGAACUUAUUUACUACUCUACAGUUUUUCAUAGGUUAUUUAAUUUUCCUUUGGAUAUUAAAUAAUCUAAUAUUUAUAAUAUUUAAAUCUCCUAACUUUUUCAGUUGUUAAUCAUUUAUAAAUUCAGCCAAUUGCUAAGACACCUUAAAGCAUGAUUAACCUCGGUUUUUUAGCCGGGAUUCUUAACUCAUGAUUUGACAUUUUUUUAUAUAUUUUUUGGUUAAGAAACAGUUUUUUUAUCUCUUAUUUAAGAGACGGUUCUUAGCUAUUCUUAGUUAAAAUCCAAAAAAAGUUAAGAAUCGUCUCUUAUCCAAAAUUAAGAACCCCAGUUAAAAGACUGGAGUUAAUCAUGGUCUUAUAUAUGCAUGUUUUGUUUGUUUGGUCUUACUGCAGUACUUCUCCAUAAGAAAGCACGCAGACAAACCAAAUGAAGGAAGAGAAGAUGAGUCGAUGGAAGCCAACGACAUGAACUUCUACGAAGAUAUUGCGUUUGAUUUCAUACCAAAAGAUGAAGACGAAGAUUCUAUUGCAAUGCUCAUCGGAAAUCUAAAUGAUCACUAUCCCAACCCAAACAAUCGUAUGGACCUCCCAAUCGAUCUUCAUCAGCAUCAUCAAGCCACCUCAUUGCCACCUGCGGAUUACAUGACCAAUCCUCAGUAUGGUGGUUCCUCCAAUGAUCUCAUGAGCUUUAACGACUUCGUAUGGUGAUGCGAUUGAAGUUGAUAUAGCUAUAUAGAAGUGGUAUAAAAAAUUUAAAAAGAAAAGAUUAUCGCUCAUCAUAUUCAUAUCUAUCUAUUGAUAAAGUAUUUUUGUCAAUCUAUUAUUUAUGAAAAAUAAUAUUAGUUACAUAUAUAAGUUUCAUUUGGGUUUUAUAAAGCAUAAGAGAUAAUAGACGAAAAUAUAAUUCAGGAAUUAAAAAAAAAACAAUAUUUGGGUUCAUCCCUAAGAUGAAUGGUUAAAUUUACCUCACUUUUUAUAAUCAACCAAAGUGCCAUGUAAAAUUAAUUAAAAAGAUAAUAAUUUUAAAAAAAAAAAAUGGCUGAAAAAAUCAGCACUGACAUUAACACCGUCUACAAAACCCGAAAUCUAAAAUCUAAACCUUAAACCUUAAAUCUUAAACUCUAAUUCCUAAACCUAAAAAAACUUUAAACCAUAAACCCUAAAUACUAAAUACUAAACUCUAAACCCAAAGCUCUAAACCAUAAAUCCUAAACCAUCAAUCCUAAACCUUAAACUCUAAACCAUAAAUCCUAAACCCUAAACCCAAAACUCUAAACUAUAAAUUCGAACCCUGAUCAAGUGAUGGAUUUAGGGUUUAAUUUAGAGUUGUGUUUUUUGGGUUUAGGGUUUAGGAUUUAGGAUUUAGGGUUAGGUUUUUGGGUUUAGGGUUUAAGAUUUUGGGUUUAGAAUUUAGGGUUAAGAGUUUUGGAUUUAGAGUUUAGGAUUUAGAGUUUUGGGUUUAGGAUUUGGGGUUUAAAGUUUAGGUUUUAGGUUUAGGGUUUAGAUUUUUGAUUUUUAAAGUUUCGGGUUUUGCAGACGGCUUUAACGUUGGUGUUAUUUUUCUCAGCCACUUUUUUUUUUAAUUAAUCGUGCAUGACAAUUUGGUUGGUUAGGUGAAUUUAACUAUUCACUAGGCCUGAGCAUUCGGGUCCUCGGGUCGGGUUCGGGUCGGGUCGUCUCGGGUCCGGGUCCUUCAGAUCUUAGAGUUUAGGACCCGAUAGGAUAAUUUGAAAAUUUCGGUUUCGGAUCGGUUCGGGUUGUUUCGGGUUCGGGUAAAGGAUAUAGGAACCGGUAAUACCCAAGUAUUUUCGGGUCAUACAACUUUUCGGGUCGGUUCUCGGGUUUUCGGGUCUUUUAAGGAUUUUCGGGUAUUUUUAAUGGUUUACGGGUCGGUUUUCUUCAUUCUCGGUUCGGGUUUGUAAUAUUCGGGUCCAUAAUACCCUAUAUACCUGAGCUUUACCCUAUAUUUCUGUAAAAACCUGAAAUGAAUUGUUAUGUAAAAAAGUUUAAAACGAGCAAUAAGAUUAAUGAUUCUAAUCUUUCUAUGACAAUUUUCAAACUUCAUACUUCAUUAAAAACAACAAAUUCAUAACAAUACCACAACUUAGUAGCAGAAUGACAAUAUAAAGUUUUACCAUAAGAAGUUUUAAACAUGAUGAGUGCAAAUUCAAAAACAAAAACAACAACAACAAACCAACAACAUUCAAUAGUCUCAGUCUCGAACUUUUGAAUCUUCUACCAGCAACAUUCAACCUUGAAACACAGGUUCAAAUUCUGUAACAAAAAGAUCAAUGCAACAAGUCAAUACCAAAAUACAAAACAUAAUGCCAUACGAAUUAAAGAGUUUAAAAACCAGAAUUAUACCUCUCAUAAGAUCAUCUUGCUCCUCUAUCAGCUUAAGCAUUUGUUCCUUUCCUUUGAUUCCUUUUUCUUUGAGUCUAAUCUCGCAUUUGAGCCACUGCUCCGUGCACAUUAGUACUUCAAUCAUAAAAUGCGUCAAACAGCUUCUGCUUGGGUCUAAAAUUCGUCCACUGGUGCUGAAGGCAGAUUCAGAUGCAACUGAACUCACUUGCAUUGCAAGUACAUCCUUAGCUAACGUUGACAGAACCGGAUACUUUCCACUAUUAACCCUCCAGAAAGAGAGUACAUCAUACUCUGCAACAAUGACAAGCUUAUUCAUCUUCUCAGGAUUUGUUCCAAAUGGAUUCCAAUACUUGCCAAGCUUCACUAACAUGUUUGCUGCCUUAGACCUUAAAAUCUCAUCAGGACCAGGAGCAGUGCUUAAAGCACUAAUGUUCCUUGUUACUGUGAUGAUCGCAUGAUACAACUUAUGCGCAGUAACAUGAUUUGUUGCAGACAGAGUCAAAGUAGCCUGGUAGAAAAUAAUUAAGAACUGGACUAACCUAUCAACAGCUUCCCAAUCCUCUUUACUUGGUGGUCCAACUUGCUUUUGUCCAUCCACAAUCUCAUUGAAGUAGUCGUUGUAGGGCUUGUCCUCAGCUUCCAUCUUCUCAAAAGCCACCUUGAACUUUAAUGCUUGCUCCAGCAUCAAAUUGGUCGCAUUCCACCUAGUUUUCACAUCCAAAGGUAAGCUUCCUCUCUGAAGUCUUCCUGACUCUACAUGUCGCUCAAAAGAAAUCUGCCUCUGAGUUGAAGACCUCACAAAAUAAAUGGCAUUACGAAUGGCAUUGACACUGCUCUCUAUCUCCAGCAAACCCUCUUUAACAAUCAGAUUGAGAAUGUGAGUAGCACACCUAAAAUGCAGAAACUUUCCAUCUAGAACCAAUGCAUCAGCGCCAUUUUUCUCAAUAAAAGCUUCAGAAAACUUUCUCAAUGCAGAAGUAUUAGCUGUGGCAUUAUCUACAGUUAUGUCAUACACCCUUUUGAUAUCCCAUUCCUCUAAGCAAUCAAGAAGUACCUUAUAAUCCAGAAAAAAAAACAAGAAUCAAAAUCGGGUUACAUAACAACAACAUGGACAUUAUCAACUUAAUAAAAAACAGAAACAAGCGAUAAAUUCAGUUUAAAAAAUUCAGUUAAAUCCAAUGAGCAAGAGAUAAAUUCAGUUAAAAAACUCAGUUAAAUCCAUUGAGCAAGAGAUAAAUUCAGCUAAAAAAAUUAAAUCCAAUGAGCAAGAGAUAGAUUCAGCUAAAAAAAAUUAUAUCCAAGAAGUACCUUAGAUAUUGUUGAUCCUUUGUGAUCAUACACAUUCUUGAAUCCAAUGAUGAGUUUCCUCAAAUGCCACGAGCUGUCUACAAAAUGCGCCGUAAUGACCAUGUAGCUGUCACCGGUAUGAGGAGCAUUCCAAAUAUCAGUCGUCAGUGACAGCCGUUGAUUGUUCUCCUUCAGAAUCUUCUUCAUUGCCUCUUUCUUUUGCACAAAGGUCUCAACAAUAUCUCGGGUUGCUGUUCUUCUAGAAUGAGGCACGUACAACUUAGUCUUGUUGCAGAAGUUCCUCCAAGCUACGCUCUCCACCCAAGAUAAAGGCAACUCUCCCACAACCAUCAUCUCAUUUGUCUCGUGUCUGAAGACAGAUUCAGAUACUCUGCACACUCUGACGUUACCAUCUUCUUCGACAUCUAAAGCAUCUUGAGUAUUAUCUUUGUUCACAGCUAACCAUGCUUGGUAAGCCUUGCACGCAAGAUUCACAUGUUUCUUCAAGCUUGUUGUUCCUGAUCUUGUUGCACAUGCCAUCUCUUUCCCACAAUAGUUGCAGAUGGCUCUAUCAUUGUCUUCUCUCUUUCUAGUAAAGUGUUCCCAAACCUUUGACGUCCUCUUCUUUUCUGACCUUGAGCCACUGCAGUUUUCGGUUUUCUUUCGUUUUCCUUUGUUACGAGAGAGUGGAGUCUCAAUUUCAUCUUCUGAUAUAUCUACUGGUGGAUCAUCACCACAAGACGCCAUCUGCAUUAUAGACAAAACAAAAAUCAAACUCGGAUUAUGUAACAACAACAACGACAUGUUCUAAUAAUAAACAGAAGUUACAGAACACAAGACUACAAGAGUCAAGAGAAAUAAACAUUGAGUUUAAUCAAACAUUGAGGUUUAAUCAAACAUUGAAGAUCAAGAUCAGAGGAACAGAAACAGAAGAGAUAAAUACAGUUUAAAAAACUAUAAACAAGAAUCAAGCUUGGGUUUAAUCAACAAGAAUCGAUACCAUAAACAAGAACCAAACUCGGAUUAAAACAAAAGCCAUAAACAAAAUCGAGACUUACCCUGCUUUUAUUUGUAGACAAUGCUGUCGCUGAUGAAGAAGUGGGUAGGGUUAGGGGGUUUCGAAGGAGAACUUGAUUAUGAUGAGAUUCCAGUUUGAUAAUGUUUGUUGAUUUCGGAUUUAUAUGUUGAUAGAUCAAUAAAGUAGCGACUCUUCGAUUCAAAUUUUUUUUUAGGGGAGUGGAACGAUGUAGGAGGAGGUGUUGCUGCAUCGGGGAAGCCGGGAAGAGAAGAGAUAGAUGUAGGCUGGUUUAGAUAGAUGUAGGCUGGUUUAGGUUUGGUUUAGGGAAUUGAUUCGGGUCUAAAAUUAACCCUAUCGGAUAUAGGGUACGGUUCGGGUAGGGUACUCUACCCGCGGGUCCGUAGUCUCAAGACCCAAUAGGGUAAUAUGGUGUCACCCGAACCGGGUUUUUCGGGUCGGUUCCGGUCCACAUUUUCGGGUCCGGGUAAAAUGCUCAGGCCUACUAUUCACCAUGGGAGUGAGCCUAAGUAUUGUUCAAAAAGAAAUCAGCAAUAGCUGAUCGACUAAGUAAUAGAUAAAUAUUUCCAUUUGCAACAUUUAUAACAAUGUAACUAUGUAUUUAGUUACUAGGUGAUUCGUCCGCGCAUGCAUGCAUAGUCAUUAUAAAAUUAUUUAUUAAUAUCAUUAUUAAUUUAUAGACCAUCAUUAUAAGUUAUUGUUUAUGCUCUCAGAUAGUUUAAAAAAAACAUCACAUUAUUUAUAUAUGAAUAAGUUGUUUAUCAAAAUAUAUAUUCUUAUUAUUGUUUUAAAAAUUUUGCAAUCAUGUAUUAUACAUAUUUUGAAAAGUUCGUUACUGUAUUAAAUUCUUAGAAACUCUCAUGUAUUAUAAAUAUUUUGAUUUUUUCGCAAUUGCUUUAAAUCUUUUUAGAAAUUCUCAUGUAUUAUAAUAUAUUGAAAAAUAUUUGUAUACACUACAUUCAAUUAAACAUUUAAUUAUGCAUCUAUUUAUAUCUUAAUUUAUAUUUUUAUUUAUGAAAAAAUUGGAUAGUAACAAAGUAUAUGUAAGAAUUAUUUUUUAUUUUAAAAAAUAUGUUUCUAUAUUUCAACAAUUUUAACUGUAUUAAUUUAUAAUCAAUUAUCUAACAAAUAAAUAAUUUAGUUGUUCAUUAAAGUUAACCACUCUAACUUUUACGUGAAAGUUCGGAUCGAAAAAAAUUAUUUUGUAAAUAAUAAAUUUGUCAAAACCGUGUAUAUAUAAUUAAAAAGUGAUUUUCUGAUUAAUUAGAUAAGCACGUCUAAAACUUUGAUCCAAACCCUAACCGAUAUACAGUAUCUAAGCCCAGCCCUUUUGGUCCUAUAAAUAGACUGUACUACUUACCAGACUUUUAACUCUGGAGUAUGAGUCUAAGAACCUAAAACAGAGCCCAGAUAAGUAGCCAUAGCAAUAGUUUAAAAGCAUUUUUUUAUUGCUAUGAGGUAUCAAGGUCGUAAUCCCUCCGAGCUCGAAAACACAACACUUAAUAUAAUAUAUUAGGAUCGGCCUGCGCUACGCGCAUGAUAUGAUUGUCCCGUGGUCUAUAUAUUAUUAUAUAUUGUACAUUUUUAUUGCGCUGCCAAUUGUUGCCAUACAUGAGAUUAUGUGUUCUUUGGAUGUUAGGUUGUUGACUUGUAUUAUUUUUAUAUUUGUUUGGAUAGUAAAAGUGGUUUUGGCUGACCGAAUGAGUAUAAAUAGAACUAAUAACUGAUAGUUGUAACAGAGUAAAUGAAGUUGAACUAAAAACAUAUUGUAAAGUUGAUUGUACAAAAUGGAAUUUGUCAAUGCAUGUAUUUUAUAUUAUUUCGUGGGUUAUUGAAUAUAUCGAAGAAUGUAAUUUUUGUUGUGAAUUUUUCCUGAUUUUGAGGUAAAUAUGGUGUGAACAUGUAGGAAGUUUAUGGUGAACGUAUAAUACUCCCUCCCUUCCAUAAAAAUAUACUUUUUAGUAUUUUCACACAUAUUAAGAAAACACACUAAAUUACUAUAAUAAAUAUAUUGUUUUCUGUAAUUUUCAAUAAUUUUUAACCAAGAAUAAUUCAAUAAAGUCAAUUAAUUUUCUUGAAGUUUACAAUUUUUCUAUAGAAAACACAAAAAAUACAUCUUUCUGAAACAAAUGUUUUUUCUAAAAAAUCUAUCAUUAAAGAACGGAAGGAGUAAUAUAGUAAAUUUUCUUCAAUGUCAGUUACAGAUUUCGUAACAAUUGUUGUCAUUUUUUCCUAUUUAUGUUUUUUGUGGCGCUUUUUUGCUUAGUUUUAGGGUGCAAUAAUAAUAUGAGGGAAUAGGUUACUGAUCAGUUUAUUUUUCAAGAUGUUGGUUACAUUGAAUUGUUGGCUAAUGAGUAAUAUUUAUUUUUGCAUUUUUUAUUUGUUUAUUUAUUUGGUGAUGUCAAGUAUUGCUAAGCUCACAUUUUUGUGGGUUAGAUAAUGGAAAAUUCUCUCAACUAGACAUUUUUAAGUUUUUGUCACAAAAGUAUACUUAAAAAAAUGACCAAAAUAAUCCCAUUUUAUUUUAAAAUUUGUAAUAUUUAUUUUUAAUUUUUAAAAAUUUGAAACAAUAUCUCCAAAACCUUACCCCGUAACUCUAAACCCUAAGUCUAGAUUAGUUAAUCAUAGGGUAAAAAUAUAUUUUUAUCAUUUAAUAAAACUUAUUUUGGUCAUUUUCUUCAUUGAGCAGUAUUUUUGUGACAAAAACUUAAAAAGCGCUAUUCUAGGAAAUUUUUCUUAGAUAAUUGGUUAUUUUAUAUUUCUUAGAUGUGGUUUUUGUCUUUUGAAAUUUUUAUGAAUUACAAAUCUUAUUCUAAAAAUGAAAACAUAGCAUUUUUUCAAAUAUUAUACAGAUUAGAUGCAUGGAGAAGAGAUGACGCAAUGUUCGUAGUAGAUUUGGUUGAUUUUGAGGACUGAUUAAAAUAAAAAUAGAACUAACUACAUAAGGUAAAGCAACGUAUGCAUAACCUUUUUUUUUUUUUUUGAUAAAACGUAUGCAUAACUUAAACUUAAACAAAGAAGACAUAAACACACACAGAAAGAUUUAGGAAGAAAAAAGGCUUAAUAUCUGAAUGGAGGAUUAAGUUUCAAGAUUUCAAAUUUGUAUUAUUAAUAGUUAAUUAAUGAUAAACAAAUCCAUAUAAAUAUAGGAAAAUUAUUAUUAUAAUUUUAUGUUGAGUGUAUGUAUCCCUUUGACAUCAGUGUUGAUCUGUGUUUACUUCUGCAGGUUAGUCGUGUUUGUAAUUCCUGUGAGUGGGAGGUGUGUGAUAUUGUUAAUUAAUUAUUAUGGUAAGAUGGAAUCUUCGGAUUGUUCUAACUACGGGUUGCUUCAAGGAAAGGGAGGUCCUGGGUAUUGAUAUGCCUGGUCUGGAGGUGUGUGUUAGCUGUGUUGUAGUUAGUGGGCACCUGUAUUUUAAAUUGUUUGUUCUAACUGUUCUGGCAUGCCGACGGUCUAAUUGUACAAAAAUUUAAAUUAUUAGUGCGCACGGUUUAAUUUAUAAUGUUAUGGAUUGUAGUGAAGAGAGUGAUGAUGUAACGGUGACCUUUACGCAAUUGUAUUUUGAUAAUGUGACCAAUUAUAGUAUAGUUUCUAGUAGGUACUCUGAGAGUAUUAGUGGUUGCAUGUUGACAAAACGCACAUCUAAUUUUAUGUGUAGAAUAAAUUUUUAGUGCCUCACUAAAUUUUUUGACCUUGCUGGGUUUAGAGAUGCUCGGCUUGCAUCUGAAGAUGCUAUUUUUUUCCUGAGAUGAAACAUUAAAAAGCAUGUUAAAUCAUAUGUUUUUGAAAUUAUUGACAACACCCAAAUUAUCAUUGUAACGAUGCUCUAACAUUUGAAUAUCAGUACAUUAGCUUGGAUGCCGAUGUUAAAAUGUGUAAAUCGUUGAGAAUGACUUGAGUUAAUUAAAAAGACGGUUCAAACCAAAGUUAAUAGACUUAUAAUGCAACUGGAUUGUAAAUAUUUGGAAUGGAAUGAUGUGGAAUGGCCUAUUCCAUUAAUUCUAUAAAAAAAUUUACCAUUUGACAUGAAUGGAAUGUAAUACUCAUUCCAUCAAUUCCAAAAAUAAAUAGAGAAAAUACAAAGAGAAUCAUUCCAUAACAAAUUUGAUCAUGAAAAAAUGGAAUGAAUUCAAUUCCAUUUUUUGCUGUAUUCCAUUCCUACCAUUCCAUUUAUUUUAAAUUCCACAAAUUCCAUAUACGUUUACCGGUUACACCCUUAGAAAAAGCAAACACUAACAGUUCCAAAUAAAUUAUUGGAUCCCAAAAUGAAACGUAAAAAGUUAUAAUGGUCUACAUAAAGUGCAUCUGGCCCAUUAUCUCCAUCGAUGGAGUGUAUAUUAUCUCUUUCAUCUGUGCAAUCAAAGAAGUUGAAUGUUGGAAACUGAUGUUUGAAGAAUCAACUCUUUCUUUCUCUGUUCUUGGUUUCUUAGUCUUCCAUUGAUUCUCAUAGUAUAUGAGCUUGAGACUUCCAUUCUCAGAAUCAUACUGAGGAUGGUGAACAAUAAGGACGUGACUUCCUGUAUUGUCUCUGUUUCUCUUCAAAGACUUGGGUUUUGUUAUUGAUCUGUCAUGAUCUCUCUGUUUUCAGUCUUCUGUCGAUAUUGUUGUUGCUGUUUGUCGUUGCUGAUAACAAACAAUUGAGCGAUGAAAGAUCGAUCGAAGUAGCUUUGUCACCAACAUGUUGAAUUUCACCAAUGACUCAAAUUCGUGCACAAAUGAGUUGGUGAGAAGAAGAGCAGAGUUCUUAGCCAUAAGCUUAUUUCAUCCCCAUAUCAAAUCUGAUCCUUGAUGCUCCAUGAUUUUGCUCUCUCGGGUCACUCCAUAGAUAUCUUGCGCGUAAACGGAUUCUAAUCCUUCCAUUGGAUCAAACAAAGCCCUGAGAAAACCAACAACGCCAAUGUGAGAAACAAAGCAAGUUUUCCAUAUAGAAAUGAUCAUUUCAUGGAACUUAUCUCCAUCUAUAUUCAUGUUCAUCUGUCCACAAAAACCAAAUUUUCAGGUUUGAAGUUUUCUUAAGAUGGUUGAACAAAAAAAAAGUCUUCUUAAGAUUAAUCAAUGUCUUGCAAACAUAUAUUAUAUAACGUUUGUAGUCAUACAUUAUUUUCAGCCAAGAUAGGAGGGAGUAAUGGUAGGAGAAUCUUCAUUGGCGGACUUGAACUCCUGCGUCUUGAGGUUCAACCCUGGCUUCACCCAUACUUUGGCUUCAUAAAGUGUCUUCUUCCCAACCCCCAAUGAUCUCCAGGGUGAGAUGAUGCAUCGUUUUUUCUACAACUUUUUCUUUCUCGUUCACCACCGCACAAACUUGACCACUGCAUUAUACGAUUUUGAAAAACCAAGAGCCCAAAACAUUACUCAAUGAUAAAAUCACUUCCAAGCCUGGCCAGAGAGAUCUAUAUAAACGUACUCAUCAUCCACCAUAAAUCAAUUCCCAAGAUCUACACUUAUCACACUGAAAACACUAAACAUGCGAAGGUAUAACAGUAACUGAAAGCAAGAUGAAUAAUUAGAAAUAACACUAAAUCCCGUUAUAGAUUAAACGGAUAUCAAAGCAGAAACAUGAAUCGAUAACAAAAGCUAUCAUAACAAAUUUUGGUUUUAGUGUAAGAAAAGAAAAAAAUAAAACUUAAAACUAAAAGCUUAAAACAACUCUUCCAGAAACAAUGACCAUGUGCAUAAACUGAAAUAAGUUAAAUCUCUCAGAAACCUAAGAGGAAAAACUGGUGAAUUUUACGGAAGGAAACUCACAUAUUUAUAGGUUGGAUUCACACGAUGCAUUGAUGAGGGCAUGCAUUUAAUCAGACAUCGUGGGAAGAGUGGAGGAUUGGUGUUAAUCUGAGCCUUAAUGGUGAUGCUUGAAUGUGGUCGACUUAUGUAACGGUGCUGGAUUUCGUUGCCAGUGAAACGACUCCAAUCGAUUAGCCACAUGAUUUUGUUUACCGGUUAAAAGAGUUCAAACCGAUUAGUCACACACGGCGUCCUCCAACUGAGUCUGGCCUGAGUUAGGGGCUGUUUGUUUCACCAUUUGUCAUCUCCAUCCAAAUGAUUCAUUUGUAUGAUCCAUUCAGAUUUUUCUGAUUGUUUGUUAAUCCAUCCAGAUAAUUCAUCUAGAUGAAUCAUCUAAAUGAAUCUUAUGUUUGUUUCUUUGUUUUCAUUUUCAUUCAAAUGAGUUUAGUAAACAAAUUACCAAAAUACCCUUGUAUUGUUUUAAUCAUAUGUUUGAUAUUAAUUUUAACUAUAUUACAUUUAAUUAUUUAGUUUAAUAUAUUUACAUUAAAAUUAUUUCAAAAUUAACGAGUUUUUUUUUUGCGGUUUGGACGGAAAAAAAAAAGAUUUUUUGGUUUUAGCGAGAAAACACAUUUUUCGGUUUUGGCGGGAAAACAAGAUUUUUGGUUCUGGCGGGAAAACGAGAAACUUGGUUUUGGCGGGAAAAUACAAAUUUUUGGUUUUGGCGAGAAAACAUGUUUUUGCGGUUUUAGCGGAAAGAGACGUUUUUGGCGGGAAAACGCGUUUUUUGCGGUUUUGGAGGAAACACGUUUUUGCGAUUUUCACGGAAAAAUGAAAUUUUUUGGUUUUGGCGAGAAAACGAGAUCUUUCGUUAUUGGCGGGAAAACGCGUUUUUGCGGCUUUGGCGGGAAAACACGUUUUUGCGGCUUUGGCGGGAAAACACGUUUUUCGGUUUUGGCGGAACAACGCAUUAUUACGGUUUUGGUGGAUAACGCACUUUUUGCGGUUUUGGAGGAAACACGUUUUUGCGAUUUUCACGGAAAAACAAAUUUUUUCGGUUUUGGCGAGAAAACGAGAUCUUUCGUUAUUGGCGGGAAAACGCGUUUUUGCGGCUUUGGCGGGAAAACAUGUUUUUGCGGUUUUGGCGGAAAACCGCAUUUUUACAGUUUUGGCGGAAAAACGCAUUUUUGCGGUUUUGGCGGAAAAAAACACGUUUUUGCAGUUUUGGCGGGAAAAUGCGUUUUGUAAUUUUGGUGGGAAAACACUCUUUUACAGUUUUGGCACGAAAACACGUUUUUGGCGGGAAAACGUGUUUUUGCGGUUUUGGCGGAGAAACACGUUUUUGGCGGGAAACGCGUUUUGUGUUUUUUUUUUUUGCGGUUUUCGCGGGAAAACAAGAUUUUCGGCUUUGUCGGGAAAACGAGAUUUUUCGGUUUUGGCGGGAAAACGAGAUUUUUGAUUUUAGCCGGGAAACACGUUUUUUUGGUUUGGCGGGAAAAUACGUUUUUGCAAUUUUGGCGGGAAAACGUGUUUUUGUGUUUUAGCGGAAAAAUGUGUUUUGAGGUGUUGACGUGAAAACAUGUUUUUGUGAUUUUUGGCAUGAAAACACGUUUUCUGUUUUUGCGAAAAAACACAUUUUUGCAAUUUUGACAGGAAAAUGCGUUUUUGGGGUUUUGGCGUAAAAAAAUAGUUUUAGGUUUUCGUGGAAAAACAUGUUUUUGUAGUUUUGUUAGUUUUCGUAUGAGACAAAAAUGAUAUUAUGUUUAGGUUUGUAAUUUGUGAAUUAUGUUAAGGACAUAAUAGAUAUUAUAUCAUUUUGAAUGAACUAUCUCCAUUCAAAUGAUCCAAAUUGGUUCAAAACUUUAAAAUUAAUCUUAAAUUUCUAAAUGUCAUUCGAAUGAUCCAUUUGAAUGAGUUUCAUUUUAGUGUCUAAACAAACAAAACUUUCAUUUUUACCCAAACAAUUCAUCCAGAUGAAGAAACAAACAGGUCCUUAGUGGUUCUCCAUGAUACAGUCGGAUGCGUGGAAGAACAUGAGAUGUUAUGCGGCGGCAACGGAGUUUUGGAGAAGAGAGACGUACAUGUGGGUUUCAUACUUUCAUUUAAUCAAUACACAAAGCCUUAUUUACUAAAGCCAAUUUGAAUAAGAUUACCAAAAGUCCAAUAAUGAUCCAUCAAAGAACUGAACGGAAAAGAAAUACCUUUACAAAUGACCGAAGCCCAUUAUUUAAAGGUUAAAUGAAACGCAUAGUAUAAGAAACUAGACACGUGUCGCCCUCUGGUGCAUAGAUUUUCUGAUCUGAAAUCCUAGGUGGCAGCACACUAGAAAUGAAGAAACCGUACGUCAUAUAUAUAGAAGAUUCCACCCGUCCACAAUAAAAUUCCUUUCACAUAGACGAAAAACAUCCAUAAUAAUCGACCGUCGAUUUUGCAUUGUAUCAUUAGGAAGGAAGUUCAUACAUCAAUUACUAAUACAUGAGAAAAACGUAACCUAUGAUUUUACCCUUAGCCCGACUGAAACACAUAUUCAGUCCACGUAAUUUAACUUCACAAACAUGGAACUUCAUACGAAUUCAGUCCACAAACGUAUUUAAUAUUGCGUUUCAGCAAGCCCUUUCUCAAAAAAAUGAUUAUUAUGUUUCAUUAAACUUAUCUUUCAAAACAUUUUUUUUCUAAAAAAUAGAUCCUUUUAAAGCGGAUGGGGUAUAUUUUAUUGUGAUUCAUUAAUAUUUUAUUUAAAAAUCAAUUUAACAAAUUAAUAAUUUGUCAAAUUCUUUUACUGUUGAAACUUAACUGGAUUUAAAAGGACAUUAGGGAAUUCGAAUAAUAGUUAUACUGAACUGAUAAUCCUGAAUUUGGAUCUUAAUAUAUUGAAAUUCUAUGAUAUCUAACCAACUUCUAUAAAAAAUAUGCAAACAUUAUUUUGGUUUAAAAUAAAACAAAAAACAAAAUAUUUAAUACAAUCGAUAAUGCUCUCCAGGAUACGCUCCUGGCUUUGCUCCGACGGAUUGAUUGCAGAAUUUCACGUGAGCUUGUUUCAUCAAUCGGUAGGGACUCAGUUCCAAAAUACUUUCUCUUAAAAGUAUAGAUCUGGAUCAAAUUAAUAUAGCCUUGAAACUUCUAGUAAUAAAAUCCAGUUGACUAAAGUUAAAUAUUAUUUCAUAUGUUUCAUAGCUCUUCGAUGCUCAGUUUAAAAGAUAAGGGAAUAAUAAGGAUUAGAAAAACAGAAGAACAAGUGGGGAUUUUCAAUUUGUUUUAGAGUUUCAAUGAAAAACUAAUAAUAUUUUUUAAUUUAUUUUUCUAUUUGGUUGAAAUGUAGUUAGGUGUAUGGGUAAUAAUGUUUUUCUAAUCAUUAUAGUAUUUGAUAUUAUUUUCUUAAUCUUUUAAACUGAGCAUUGAAAAGCAAUGGAAAAAAUUCCAAAUAGUUAGCACAUACAAAAAUAGAUAAUUCGUAUAUUAAAAAAACCAUAAUUUUAUGUAGAACCGGUUAUACCGGUUUGGAUUCCGCCCUUGUAUGUUUCUCAGUUUUAUAAAUCAAAUUCAGAUGGAAAAAAAAUGUAGAGCCGGUAUAACCUUUUAUUAGUAUAUCUUCAUCACAAAUGGAGUAUACUGUUACGUACAUAAAAACAAAAUAUAAGCCCAAAGACCGAACAGCCGAACACCAAAGUAGCCAUAAAUCUUGGAGGAAAACGUGAUGAGUUCACGAUCAUAUUUAUUUUUCAGGCAUAUUUCUACAUUAUCUAUAAAAAGCAAAGAGAAUCAUGCCAACAACAAUUAUGAUUAGUCGACUUUGUAAAUGUGAUGAUACAUAUUCAAGUUAUCCAAUUUAAACAUCUUUAACAAUUAUGGCUAUAAUUAUGUUGUAUCUAUAACGAGAGUCGGAGACGUUAGACCAAAGUAUCCAAAGAUAGGUUUAACUUGAAAAUAACAAUUAUUGAUAGGGGUUCCACCAAUAUCAUUCGAGUCUAUCAUGUUUCCCAUACUUUUGCAGGUAACACGAACAUGUAACGUGACAAAAUUUUGUUUUCCUCAACGGUAACAAUUUAAUUUACCUAUUCUAUUCGUGAAUCGAUUAGACGUUUGAAACUAAAUUAUAUUGGACAUAGAAAAAAAAAACAAAAACAAUACAGACAACCGGCAAAAAAAAGAGUCCAGCGUAAUUUGUUUAGCUGUUUAGAGAAAAACUGUUAUCAUCAAUUAUGAUAGAUUCAAAUUUGAAUAUAGUAUAGCUUGCUGGGGAAUGAAGGACUUUUGUAUUACAUAGUUCUCAAAUGUGUUAUGAGCAUCAGUAGUUAAUUGUAGAUGAGCUGUGUAGGAUGUUUAGGGGAAACGAAAAAGAGUGUAGCUUAAGAGGGUAGCUUUAGACUGAAUUUUUGUGUGUAUAUAUUGCAUCUAAUGGAAAAAAAUUAGAAUUAAUUAUAAACUGUUCUAUAGAAAAACGUAUGAAUUAAGAAUUAGUCAGUGUCAACUUCUUUAUAACAUCAAAGAGCUUUGAUUUCUCUAGAUGGUAAUAAAUUAGUAACAAAUAUAGUGGCAAACUAACAAAAAAUGAACAAAUACUCUUUUGGUUAAAAAAGGAUCCAUGUUUUAAAACAAAAUUUGCUUCAAAAAAAUAUAUUUUACAUUUUAAUUCAAUUUUUAUUAAAUAAUAAUGACAAUUUGUAAGCUCCUUAAAAAUAAUUAUAUUUAUUAAAUUGUGAUUGGCUAAAAGUUGUAGAAAAUAGUUAAUCAUAAAAAAAAAUUAUAAUUAAAACUGCAAGAUGAUUUUGUGUCAAAAAUCUAAAAGAUAUUCUCUUAAUGAGUAUGAUAUAACUAAAAUUGCAGUAGUAUAAUUGAUUUCGAUAGAAUUUCAUUUAUUAAUUAGAAAACUGAAUUAUUUCACGACACUGAGACUUGUCCUAUAAAUACAACAUUUCCUCCUCUUAACUUGUAUCACAAAGCUAAAUACGAAAGAAACAUGGGGUUCUUGGGUAAGAGUAUAUUGUCGAGUCUCCUUGCAAUAUGGUUCUUCACUUCCUGUGCUUUCACUGAAGAAGUGAACCAUGUGAACCAAACGCCUUCCUCUGCUCCUGCUCCAUCUCCUUACCACCACGGCCACCACCACCCACAUCCUCCCCAUCACCACCACCCUCACCCUCACCCACCGGCAAAAGCCCCUGUCAAGCCGCCGGUUUCUCCACCUUCUAAACCUCCGGUUAAGCCUCCAGUUUACCCCCCAACCAAAUCCCCGGUUAAGCCCCCAACUAAACCUCCGGUUAAGCCACCAGUUUCCCCACCAGCAAAACCUCCUGUUAAACCUCCGGUUUACCCUCCGACCAAAGCUCCAGUUAAGCCCCCAGUCAAACCUCCGGUUAAGCCACCAGUUUCACCACCGGCCAAACCUCCAAUAAAGCCACCAGUUUCACCACCGGCCAAACCUCCGGUUAAGCCCCCGGUUUACCCUCCGACCAAAGCCCCUGUUAAGCCCCCGACCAAAGCCCCGGCUAAGCCUCCGGUCUCUCCUCCAGCCAAACCACCAGUAUCCCCUCCAGCUAAGCCACCGGUGAAGCCACCGGUUUACCCGCCAAAAUUCAACAGAAGCCUAAUCGCGGUUCAGGGUACG
RNAcentral lists this long non-coding RNA (88232 nucleotides) under Brassica rapa (field mustard). RNAcentral describes it as "long non-coding RNA (BRAP_LNC007076)". The record is from RNAcentral. Lineage: Eukaryota; Viridiplantae; Streptophyta; Magnoliopsida; Brassicales; Brassicaceae.